Molecule: long non-coding RNA, 57604 nt
Filed under: Citrus maxima (pomelo)
Lineage: Eukaryota; Viridiplantae; Streptophyta; Magnoliopsida; Sapindales; Rutaceae
Description: long non-coding RNA (CMAX_LNC003500)
Source: RNAcentral
CACACACACACACACAUGUUACCUUGUAAACAGGACCAUAUCCACCCUCCCCAAGGUUAUUUCUAAUUGAAAAUCCCUCGGUGGCCGCCUCAAUAUCAGCCAAACUAUAUACUCUGAGAUUAGGAACAUUUCUGUUAAAGUCUCCAGCUUCUGUUUCAUUAUUUUCUCUCGUGUUUGAUGCUUUAGCAGAAUCCUCUGUUCCUAACAUCAACCAAGAGUAAAUAUUAGAUAAUUAAUUGUAUGUCAGCCUAAGUUUUAUAUAUAUAUGAAAUGCAUGCUUAAUUAUAAUUGGUAGCUGAAGCUUGUUACCUUCUAUUAACUUGAGCCUUUUCAUCUGGUUGUAUUUAUAUGCACAACAACUUAGAAGGAGAGUCAAAGCUGCCGCUGCAGUCGAAAUGAGUACCAAGGACAGAUGGCGGUUAUUACUAUGUUCAUCUUUGUCAGCUGAAGCAGAAGUAAUCCUGUCUUUUUGUGCUGGAAAUAUGUAUAGUUCAGCAAUUAAUAAUAACUAGCUAGAGAUGCCAUAACAAUCAUUAUUAAUCAGAGAGAACAAUUAUUGCAUAGAUAAAUACCUGCAGCUUGAGAAAGUACCCAAUUAUGAUCGUCAUAAUCAACUCGCCAAACAUAGUAACCAAGAAAUCUCUUCUCUUUGGCAUAGGCGAUCUUAGCUCUAACAGCCUCCACAUCAUCAAAACCAAACCAAAUCGUCCCAGUGGAGAAGUAAUUCACCACAUAAGUUGAAUUGUACAUAACUUGAACAUUAGGACCAUAGGUCUUGAUGUGAUUCUUGAUAUCCCUAUAGGUCACAAGGCCACCAUUACUCAUAGCUGGUCCUGCUGCUGCUACUCCAAUACCAUUGUCUUCAGGUUUCACAAGCGUCCAUGCAUAGCCGUAGAAAGGCAAACACAAAACCAACUUAUCAGCCAAUAACCCUCUCUAAAUCCAUGCCCUUAAAACCUGAUCAGUACUGUCAAAGAAGCUCAUAAUGCAUGGAAGGAUGCAGCACACGUGUGAGAUGAAUAUAGUCAGCUGAAUCAAUUGAAGAGUGGAGUGCCAGCUCAGCUGAAGUUAGUUAGACACGUUAAGAUCAAGUUUUAGUUAGUUCUUCAUUUUCUGUUAAGCUGAAAAACAGCUGAGUAUAAAUACAAGCAUAUUGUAAUCAUUUUGAGGUUAAGUAAAAAUAAAAUAAAGCAUUUGAUUCCAGAAUUUCUUUUACAAAUUUUCUUAGCACUUUAGAUACAUUUUCUCAGUAACCAAACAGUUUGUUCAUUCAAGCUUUUAAGCUUUCAAACAUGGUAUCAGAGCCUUACAGAGCUAGUUCCAGUAAUCAACAGUCAAGCCUUCGUAAUCAAACAACAAACAACACAAAUCAACCUACUCAAAUCAACUUCUCUUUUUCUAAUCCUAUCAAGCUAGAUCGAUCCAAUUACUUACUCUGGCGUUCUCAAGUUUUGGCCUCAAUAAGAGGCAAUCGUUUGGAAGAUUUCGUCACAAGAGCCAGAUCAGUACCUGAUAAGUGUCUUCUGUUAACUGAAGCAGAUGGAUCUACACAACAAGUUGAAAAUCCAGAAUAUCAGAUCUGGAGAUCACAGGAUCAGACACUUCUUGGCUGGCUACUGUUGUCAUUAAGUGAAGGUAUCUUAAGUCUUGUAAUCAAUUGUGAGAGUUCAUUUGAUAUAUGGAAAACUUUGGAAAAGAAAUUUGGAGUUCAAUCUGAAGCUCGAGUUCUUCAGCUCAGAUACGAACUAAACACUCUUAAAAAGGAAGCCCUUAGUGUUGAAGAUUAUUGUAUUAAAAUGAAAGCAAUAGCAGAUAAGCUGGCCAGUGCUGGUAGUUCAAUUACAGAGAAGGAUCUUAUGCUAACUAUUCUUAAUGGAUUAGGAUCAUGAUAUCGUGAUAUUGCUACAUUUAUAACUGGUUCACGAAUGGAGUUUGAUGAUGCUUAUGCACUGUUACUCACUCAUGAGACUAGAUUAGAGCAGGAGCAAGGUGACAAAAGUAUGUUUAAUGCAAACUAUGCAUACACAAAUGCAUAUUAUCCUAGAGCUUAUUUUGCACAGCCUAGAAGAAGUUUUAAACGAGGAGGUUAUUCUGGUGGUAGAACUCCUUUCUUUGGCAGAGGAAAUAUGAAUUACUCUCCAAGAAUGUUUAAUGGAGGCUUUAGAAAUGGAUAUGGCAGAGGAUUUUUUCCUGGAAAUAACUCAACUGAUUUCAAUCAUUUUCCAGCUCCUAGGAAUCCAGUACCUAGGAACUCAUCUUUUCCAGCUAGAAAUGGAUCUGCUAACAUGAGUGGAUCACAAGGAAGUUUUAAUAAUGCUGGAGAGAUGACAUGUCAGAUUUGUUUUAAGAAUGGCCAUACUGCUGAUGUCUGUUGGCACAGAUUUGUUGAAGAUUUUGUACCUGUUCCAAGAGGUUUUGGCAAGGGAAGAACACCAAGAGCAGCAUAUUUAUCAAACUUUGAUGGCUCCAUUUCUAAUCCAGAUUUUGGCUAUGAAAAUCUUAAUACUAUGUUUCCAGGUUAUGACUCUAUAUCUGGCAAUAGCUACUAUUCUGGAAUGGAUGGAUACACUUCUGGAGCAGCUAGAACAGCUUUCAUGGCAAAUUUUGAAGGGACUGCUGAUGAUGGAUGGUAUCUGGAUAGUGGGGCAACUCACCAUUUAACCAACAAUAUGGAGAAUUUGCAGAUCAAUGAAGAGUUUAAAGGUACUGAUUAGCUUAUCAUUGGAAAUGGUCAAGGUUUGUCUAUUACUCAUGUUGGACAUGCAUUUCUGGUAUUAAGAGCUUCUAAACCCUUAUCUACACAUGCUAGAAUAAAACUUAAAGAUAUGUUACUUGUCCCUUCAAUUACCAAAAAUCUAUUAAGUAUUUCUAAACUCACAUCUGAUAACCCUUUAUCUGUUGAAUUCUGUGGAAAUGCUUGUUUUGUGAAGGACAUGAAGGGUCAAGUUCUUCUGCAGGGUAUUGCUGAAAAAGGCCUUUACAAGCUGCUGCUGAACUCAAAUUCUCUUUCUUCAUCACCUACAUCUUAUCUUUGUAAAUCCCAGCCAAAUAAACUAGUCUCUAUGUUGUCUGCUUUCAAACACUCUGAUAAUGGUACUCGAGCUUGUUUUCAGUUUGUUUUAAAUAAGUGUAAUGCCAAACCUAAUGUAAUAACUUUGUUACAUAGAAAGUUUGGUCAUCCAAGCUCAAUGACAUUGAUGCAUUUGCUCAAAUCAUGUAAACAGUUUAAAGUCUCUCCAAAAGACAUGUUAUCUUCUGCAAGUACUUUAUGUGAAGCAUGUCAGCUAGGCAAAGUCCAUAAGCAACAUUUCUCAAUAACCGAAACAAAAACAAAAGAGGUAUUAGAAUUGAUCCAUACUGAUCUUUGGGGGCCUUCACCCACUGUGUCUAGAGAUGGAUACAAAUAUUACAUUAGUUUUGUGGAUGAUUACACUAGGUACUCUUGGAUCUAUCCUCUUAAGCUCAAAUCACAAGCAUUUGAAGUUUUCAAAUUGUGCAAAACUCAAGUUGAAAAUCAGUUUGAUACCAAAAUUAAGAUGCUACAAUCUGACCUUAGGGGAGAGUUUAGAGCAUUUACUGAUUUUCUCAAUCAAAAUGGAAUAAUCUUUAGGCACUCAUGUCCUUACAUCCAUCACCAGAAUGGUCUUGUUGAGAGGAAGCACAGGCAUAUAGUUGAACUAGGAUUAACCCUCAUGGCUCAAGCAAAUCUUCCUCUUCAAUUCUGGUGGGAAGCUGUUCAUACAGCAGUGUAUCAUAUUAAUAGAUUGCCUACCCCUGUUCUGAAAUUCUUAUCUCCUUAUGAGAAACUUUUCAAACACAAACCAGAUUACACAUUUCUAAAGUGUUUUGGUUGUCUUUGUUAUCCAUACUUGAGAGACUUUAACAAACAUAAGUUUGAUUUUCACACUUCUAAAUGCAUUUUUAUUAGAUACAAUCCCUCUUAUAAAGGAUACAAAUGCUUAGCAAGUUUUGGUAAAGUCUAUGUUCUUAGACAUGUCAUUUUUUAUGAAACACAUUCCCUUAUCCAAUAAACAUUGCAUUCUCAACAGAAAAUCACAUAUCUUCUAAAACCUCAGUGUCUAAUUUCUCUCAGCAACAUAUCUAUCAUCUUUCUACAAUAGCCUUACUCAACAGCAGCUUUGAAGGUCUUCAGUCAGCAAGCUCAGCAAGAAAUGAACAAAUGCCCUUUGGUCCCACACAUACAGAUGUUUUGAAUCAACAAGAACAUCCAUCACACACAUCCUUAGAGUUAUCAUCCUCAACCUCACCAUCACCAAACACAUUACUAAUGCAAUCAUCCAUUCUACAACCAGAGGAAACUUCUUCACAGAAUAUAGACCAAAUUCAAACCAGAAAUCAUUCCCAACCAUCUUCUCAUCCAAUGAUUACCAGAUCGAAAUCUGGAAUCUUCAAACCAAAGGUCUAUACAGUCACCUUAGCCAACAAAGAACCCAGUACAGUUCAAGAAGCUCUUAGUAGUCAGAAUUGGCAUCAAGCCAUGGUAGAUGAGUAUGAAGCUUUGAUGAAGAAUAAGACUUGGUCACUGGUACCAUUUUCAAAUGCAUACAAAGUAGUUGACAACAAAUGGGUGUUUAGACUCAAGCAAAAUACUGAUGGAAGCAUAGCCAAACACAAGGCCAGAUUGGUUGCCAAAGGUUUUCAGCAAACUGAAGGUGUGGAUUACUUUGAGACAUUUAGCCCAGUUGUAAAAGCUUCAACAGUGAGGAUUGUUUUGAGUUUAGCUGUGAUGCAUAAAUGGAAAAUAAGGCAAGUGGAUGUGAAUAAUGCCUUUUUGAAUGGAGAAUUGACAGAGGAUGUCUAUAUGUAUCAGCCUGAAGGUUUUAUUGAUCAACAAAAACCUAAUCAUGUAUGCAAGCUGAAGAAGGCCUUGUAUGGCUUAAAGCAAGCUCCUAGAGCUUGGUAUGACAAGCUUAAGAAUUGUCUGAUUGCUAAUUGGAAAUUUCAGAAUUCAAAGGCUGAUACCUCUCUUUUCUUCAAAGAAGUGCAGGGCUCAAUGAUACUCAUCUUAAUCUAUGUAGAUGACAUUCUAAUGACAGGACCUGACAAUGGUGAACUGGAGAAAUUCAUCUCAAAAUUCAGUAAGACUUUUGCUUUAAAAGACUUGGGAAUUCUGUCAUAUUUUCUAGGAAUAGAAGUGUCCUAUGCUGAAGAUUGCAUCUAUCUAUCUCAGAAGAAAUAUAUCUUGGAUUUGUUAUCCAAAGCUAAUAUGCAAAAUUGUAAAGGCUGUGACACUCCCAUAGUUACUGGAUCAAAGCUUCAGAAAGAAGUCACAGGCUGUUUGGGUCAAUAUAUUGAGGAUGCAACAAGCUAUAGAAGCUUAGUUGGAGGUUUACAAUAUCUAGUAUUAACCAUACCAGAGAUAGCAUUUGCUGUGCAUAAGUUGAGCCAGUAUGUGACAGCUCCAACACUCCAGCAUGUUAUGGCUUGUAAAAGAGUUCUUAGAUACCUCAAGGAGACUGCAGAUUAUGGUUUGAAGUUUUCAGCAGGUGGGGAAAUGAAGAUCACAGGAUUUACAGAUGCAGAUUGGGCAUGUGAUGUUGAUGACAGAAAAUCAAUAGGAGCCUAUUGCAUUUAUUUUGGAAGCAAUCUAAUUUCCUGGUCAUCCAAGAAGCAGGCUGUGGUUACACGAUCCAGUGCAGAGAGUGAAUAUCGUGCUCUUGCUUCUGCAAGUGCAGAGAUAACAUGGAUCCAGUCGUUAUUCAAUGAACUUAGCAUUAAGUGUACUUCAUUACCAACUAUCUGGUGUGACAAUAUAAGUGCAACAGAGUUGGCCAAGAAUCCAGUUUAUCAUUCAAGGACUAAACACAUUGAACUGGAUAUGCACUUUAUUAGAGACAAGGUUUUGGCAAAGGAGUUAGAGAUUAACUAUAUUCCCAGCGAGGAGCAAAUUGCUGAUGCUUUGACAAAGCCUCUGACAUUUAUUCAUUUCAACUAUUUCAGAGCCAAACUCAAUGUGCAACCAUGCCCCUUGAGUUUGAGGGGGACUGUCAAGGAAGCUCAUAAUGCAUGGAAGGAUGCAGCACACGUGUGAGAUGAAUAUAGUCAGCUGAAUCAAUUGAAGAGUGGAGUGCCAGCUCAGCUGAAGUUAGUUAGACACGUUAAGAUCAAGUUUUAGUUAGUUCUUCAUUUUCUGUUAAGCUGAAAAACAGCUGAGUAUAAAUACAAGCAUAUUGUAAUCAUUUUGAAGUUAAGUAAAAAUAAAAUAAAGCAUUUGAUUCCAGAAGUUCUUUUACAAAUUUUCUUAGCACUUUAGAUACAUUUUCUCAGUAACCAAACAGUCUGUUCAUUCAAGCUUUUAAGCUUUCAAACAAGUACUUCUAGCAUAGCCGCCGCUACUUGAGCCAUACAGAGCCGCAUGUGCCUCGGUGAAGUUUGUUGACAUAGGCUCGUAGUAUUCAGCUGUAACAACAUGAACCUAAUUCAAGUUUCGUUGCAUCGAUUUCAAAAGGUACGAAUUGUCUGGUGGUAAAUAACGAAAUCUUGCGGUCAGGAUCAGCUGGGAUUGCUGGCGGCCAGAGUUUUUUGCCUCUAAUUGUGUAGCAGCUCGGCACUCGUCAAAGAAUAAACCCGUAUUGGACAUAUCGGUGCUCGUGUUCGGAGCUUUCCAAGCAAAGUCUAGGCCCUGAAAGCCAUAAAGCCUAGCUAUUCUUAUUGAAGAGUCGAUGAAAGAUUUCCUGUGAGAAGAAUUUCUCACCAUUGAAGAAUAUAUAGAAUAGUUUGUAUAUCUUCCUUGUCUAAUGGAGAGAAGUGUAGUGGUUGAUGGGUUCUUUUGUUUCACAGUGCCUGUAAAUUUGGGGAAUAUUUGAUUUCCAUCAAACGGUGAUGAUAAAGAUAGCUGGUAAGUGGUGGAAUUGAUAUCAGCGUAAGAGCAGAUAAGGUGAGUGAAGAGAUCAUAAUUUAUGCCCGAAAUGGUGGACACUUCGCUUGGAUCCAAGUAGCCGACCCUGAUCCACGGUUUUGCUUUCGCGGGAUGAAAUUCUGAAUAGAACAACAUGUGGAAGAUGAUGCUGAUAAUUAUGGAUGCCAUUUGAGAGGCUUAUGCUUCUUAAUUACCACUUCGAUGGGAAUGGAAAUGAAUGCACACUAAUAGAAAUUAAAUAAACACAAGUUUCACAGUUCAUUAAGCUCUCAUGUGUACUAUUAACGUAUAGGUUCAUUUCGUUGCCCAAAAAAAUCUUAUGUGCUCCUGAUAGGGACACAUACAUUGGAUGAUAAGAUGAUGAUAGGCGAUGCGACCAUUGCCCAAGAACUAAGAUUUUCUUCUAUCGCGUGGGUGACUUUUCAUGAAGAAAAAUGAUGUUUUGAUUGACAUAUGGUUAAACCGAUGCCAUAUUUCGGGCUACAAAUAUCAGUAUUGUUUUAUUAAAUAAUUAAAAAAAUUAAUUUUACGUGCAUGUUGAAGGUAAUAUUGCAGUCUUUUGAGCCUGUGUUGAAUUUCAUUCGUGUGCGUUCAUUUAUUAUCUAUCCUCUUUUUUCUCUGUGUGUCUGCUAGCUCUAGUCAUCUUAAAAGAAUAACAUGUUUAAUUAAUGCAUGUAAAUGCACCGCAAAAGUAGUUAAGAAAGACUUGAUCAAAGAUCAGACAUUUUCUCUCUACUCAAAAAGUAGUUAUUGGACUAAUUAAGAUUCUAAUCCCUUUAAGAAAUAUUGAAAAAGGGUUACUGUCACUACUUCAGUCCUUGUUGUUACAUAUAUAUAUAUAUAUAUAUAUAUAUAUAAAUUUAAAGAAGCAUCACAUAAAUCCUUCCUAAUUAUAUUUUGUUUCAUUCAAGUUGUUGACUUAAUUUGUCUGCUUGGAAAAAUUAGUAAAAAGGUAAAAAUAAAAAAAUGUAAAUUCUACUUAUUAGACUAAAUAUAUAGUAUAAAUUUGCAGCAACCAGCAAAAGUUUGGAAUAUGAAAAAUCCUAUUAAUUUUUAAAAAAUCUCCGAAAGUUUGAAAACUAAUAUUUUAAGGUCCUUUUACAAUAACCAUAAUUAACAUGAAUUUACUAAAUUAGGCAAACCCGAAUUACUACCAUAUAAUAAAAUUUUAUAACAGAAAUAAGAAAACAAAACAAAUAGCAUCAAAUCUUAUAUCUAAAAAAAAAUCUUGAAAUAAAUAGAAAAAAUAAGAAAAUAACUAAAACUUGCAAAAUGACCAUGAAAGAAAUGAAAUUUCCGACUGAACCAAAGGGCCAAUACACAUAGCAUUAUUGGACUAGAUCUAUCAUGGUGCAAACUUCAAAACAGUAUAUUAUAUUUUCUAAAUGGACACAUAUAGGUUAAGUUAUGAUAUUAAAAAAUAUCCUAUUCAUCUUACACAACCAUUCUAUGUCACUAUAUCUAUACACUAAUAAUAUAACCCAAACAUUUAUGGAGCAUAACUCACAGACCUCCACUAAUUACACUAAAGUUUACUCUCAUUUUAUAAGAGAGAGAAAUGUUCUCGUUCUCCAUUUAUGGGGGAUUAAACCAAAUGGUCUGUUUUUGAUUUUCUGGUAAGUUGUGUAACGUUGGAGCUUUUUGGCACUUCUUUGACGAAAAGUCGUUCUCUUCGACAACCCAAAAUUCGGGCCAAUGGGCAAUUAUGAAAGUCCAUUGGAUGCAUUGGACCAAACUAAAAGUCCAUAUAUAUAUGUAUAUAUAUAUAUAUAUUCAAUAAAUGAAAUGAAAAAAUGCAAUUGGCUUGCAGUUGCAAAGCUUCUUUGUUUAUUAUUAUAUAAUAUAAUAUAAUAUAAUUUUAUAUCAUUUUGAAUAUCAAAAUUUUAUUUCAAAAUUUAUUUAACACUAGUGUUUAAUAUAAGAUACAAUACUACCAAAAUUCUAUUCAAUAGUUUAUUUAAAAUAGUAUUGACUAUUAAAAAUAAGAAUUUACACUAAUAUUAAAUAUUAAAUUCAACAAUUAGUAACAUUAUUUAAAAUAAUUAUAGUAUUUAAAUGGUUAUUUAUCUUUAUUAAAUAAGAUUUAACAUAAUCCUCUGCGACAUUUUACUAAAUAAAUACAGUACUAUAUAUAAUCCAAUCUAAUCUUAAACAAUAAUCUAUUCUAUUCCUACCUUCCAAAUAUAAACACAAUAGAUAAUGAGAGCAUGAGCUAUGAGAUUAUAAAUCAUGGAUCAAGGGAGUAGAGAUACAGACCUUGAGAUCAUAGAUCGUAGACUAUUAGAGACUAAAGACCGUGGACAAAUCCGAGUACAUUAAAAAAAGGGGAAUUUUAGUCAAAUGUAGAUUGAUAUUAAGGAAUUCAGCAAGCAAGCUACAAGAAUAUCCAAAAGCGUGUAAUUUAUGUUUAAGGAAACAAGUGGAGAUAGAGAUGAAAUUGUAAAUUCAUCCCAAUCUUAAGUGGCUUAAUUCAAGAUGUAUGUUACCUACAAGCACAAUAAUAUGUACACGUUAUGUAUACAUGCAUCACAUACGUGCGUCGAUCAUCGAUGUAAAAGUAACAGUAAAUUUCUAGUAAAACAAACAUCAUUACUUUUAGUAUAAGAUGUAAAAAAUAUCAAUUAAUAACCAUUAGAAAAUAAAAAUUUAUGUAAUUGAUGCAGAUAAAUGGAAUCAAGUAGUAACAUUUCCUUCUCAUUGAAGAGAAAAGAUUAAAAAAAAGAAAAGGGGGGGGGGGGGGGGGGGGGAGGAGCGCAAACAUGACAAUUAUUUUUAUCCGCACGUGCCAUGAUAAUCGAUAAUCCGAUAUACCAACCGCGUCUAAUUGUCUGAAUUCUCAAGCUUAUCAAGCUUGCUCAAUCGCACCGCAGACACUGACCAUGGGAGAUUAAUCACCACUCGCAGUAUUAGGCGCGUGAAGGACACAUUCGCCAAUAAUUUAUAGCGGACAGUAGCAUUCCCGAUGCUGCGCGGAGAAAAAUAGUUGGGCUUGCGAAAGUUAAAUUGACUUGACUCGACAGAGUGAAGAAUGGUGGUGGUUGCUGUUAAGCAGUCGGUACUUCUGGCGACUGCUUGGCUUACACGCAGUUCCCGGGGGUGUCAUUUGACUGUGAAAGAGAAUUUUGGCUUUAUUGAUAUCUUGUUGGAUUUGGAAUUUUGGAUGGCUUCGUGUAGACCAUAAGACACGAUAUCGUUCAUAACACGUUAGCAUUCUUUCUCACGGGAGAAAAACUCGGGUGGGAGCAGAUGUACCAUCUCAACUGCCGUUUAUAAAUGGCUGUCAAAUAAUUAAUCAAAAUUUUAUUAUUUACGGUUAUAAUUGGAAUGAUAAAAAAUCAAUUCGAUGUUAUUCUUUGUGGCUCUGCUUAGAAUACUAAAAAAUCAAAUCGACUUAUUUAUUUUUAUAUUGAUCAUUACAAGUCUCUUGAAUUUUUUACCUACUUCAUUAACUUGUUAUUUUGAGUUGUACGUAACAUGGCUUUUUUUGUUUUUUACUUUACUUUGGUUUUCUUUAUAACCCAUAAAAAUUUUCUUGUUAAGACUGUGUGAACCAAUUGAAACUUCAGAUUCAUACUAGAACUAUGAUGAUUUGAUAAGAGCUUCAAAUUAAAUCCACAGAUUCUAUGAAAAGAAAAGAAAAGAAAAAGUCUUUUAUUGGUAAAAGAAGAAAGCUCUUCGGCACUGAUCCGAAGAAAAAUCAUUCUCCAUACAAUGAGCAAAACAAAGUCCAAUUCGCAUUACAUAGAAGUAAAACCGAAGCAUUGGACUAAAAGCAUACAUUAGUCUUAUUUUUCGUUACUGAUAACAUUUUUUUUCCCUUAUAUUAUCACCUUAAUUAAGAAAAAUAAUAAUUUGUUUAACUAAUUACAAAAAAGGAUGGCUAUAUACAAUAUUCUUGUGUUGGAUGGCCUUAAAAGUCAAUUCUUUUGAAACAGGAAAACUGGUAUCGUUUUUCAAAACACAAAAAUAUUAUGUUAAGAAAAUGAAUGGUCUUUAAGAGUUAUGACAAUGAUAUCAAUAAAAUUACAAAAUCUUAAGAGUUUAUAGAUGUAGUUAGUGAUAUUACAUUACAUUAAUUAAUACAAUGCAAAUUGUUUACUAAUAGAGCCUCAGGAGAGUGAUUCAUUAUUUAGUUGGCCAAUUAAACAACUGCAGCAGUCACUAGCAGCUUGCCAAGAGCUAGCAUAGAUCAAUUGUUCAUCUACCAACCAAUUUUGAAAUUGUUACAUCAUUACUUGAACAUAUUUCCAAUCCAAUCGUGGCUUUGUUUUGUUCAUCUUCAUAAGCUUUGUUUGAGAAACUUGCAGGCUUCUUUGGAGUCAUUAUAUCAGCUGUAUUUUCAUUUUCGAUCAACGAAGAAAUUUCUAGUAUAGAAGGUCUAUUGUUUGGGUUCUCCUGAACACAUAGCAAAGCUACUUGCAGACAUGUCAAUAAUUUCCAUGAGGAAUGCGUAUCAUCUAGUGAUGGAUCCAUUAACUCCGUGCCUUUCCCAUCCUUCCACAACUCGUAUGCCUGAAAACAUCAAAUAUGUUAUUGACUAACAUUCAAUUAAUUAGCACUGUAAUGUUUUGAUUCAGUGAAUAUUAAAAAGGGGGUUAUGAAGAAACUUACAUACUCUACAAGGCUUAGAUUUUCAUUUUGACCAUAUCGAAUGAAAAGUCUUCGCCCACUUAUAAUUUGCAGAAGCAAAACCCCAAAACUGUAGACAUCAGAUUUAGUGGAGUAGAUGCCUCUUCCGACAUAUUCAGGAGGGAUAUAGCCUCUGUAGUAUCAAGUAAUUAUAAAUGUCAGUGUUUGACAUAAAAGAUUAAGUUGAUUGGUAAAGGUUCAACAAUAAUAUUAAAGGCAUGUCAGACAAUAAUAGACAAAUAUACACUUACUGUGUUCCAACAAUUCGAUUUGUGUUUGCUUCAAGAUCAUCUUUCACAAAAAUUCUAGCCAAGCCAAAAUAUGAUAUUUUAGGUGUCAAAUCUUCAUCCAACAAAAUAUUACUAACUUUUAAGUCUCGAUGAAUAAUUGUUAAUCUAGAAUAUUCUUGGAGAUAGAGAAGCCCCUGAAUAAUUCCUUAAAUGAUAUAAAUACGUUUUUUCAAAUCCAAAAUAAGCCUUCGGAUGGGAUCUGCAUCAAAUGUAAACUUAGUUGGACGGUCAGCACCAUUAGCAUUUGGAGACAGAGAAAUGCAAAUUGAGGCACAAAAAUUAGAAAUUAAGCAGUUAAGCACACACCAAAAAGGAAAUAGUCUAAGCUUCGUUUUGGCAUAUACUCAUAGAUGAGCAUAUAUUCUUGCGUGUCGAUGCAAAAACCCAAAACUCUGAUCAAAUUUAUGUGUUGAAGCUUUGCAGUAAGCAUAACCUCAUUCUUGAACUCCUCAAAUCCUUGUGUGGAUGUCUUCGAGAGUUUCUUCACUACUAUUAUUUGUCCAUCAGGUAAUGCACCCUGCAAGCACCCCCCAAAAUAUAUGUUUUUUUAAAAAUCAGUGUGUUCACACACACACACACGUAGCUUGCACUAAUUAAUUAAUAAGCUAAGAGAUAACCAAGCUACCGAUACAUAACCUUGUAAACAGGACCAUAUCCACCCUCCCCGAGCUUAUUUUCGAUUGAAAAUCUAUCCGUGGCCACCUCAAUAUCAGCCAAGCUAUAUUCUCUCAGAUCAGGAUCAUUGCUGUUAAAAUCUCCAGCAUCUGCUUGACUAUUUUCGCUGUCCUUUGAUGCUUUGGCUGAGUCAAUUACGGUCCAAUUAAUAUCAACCAAGAGAAAGAAAGCUAAUUUAAGUGAAUUGCCCACUUCUUCAUCUGUGUUAAAUGGAAUAGAAGUAAAAAUAUUCCUAAUCCCGUGUAGAAGAAGUUACCUUUUAAUUUGAGGUUUUUCAUCCAGCAGUAGUAAUACAGUAAAAAACCAAUUAGAAGAAUACAAGCUGCCGUUAUAGGGAAAACAAUUGCCCAUAAUAGUCGCUUAUUUUGUCGAUUCUUAUUUUCCUCUUGAGCUGAAAAGUCAAAUCACUUUGUGUUAGUUAAACAUUUGAUGGUCAAAUAAAGAUCUUAAUUGAAGUCAUUAUGCAGAGAACUGAUCAAAUGGAUAGCAGGCAGUGACUGAGGCUUUGCAUUUGCUUACCUGCAGCUUGAGAAAGCAUCCAAUAAUGAUCAUAGGAAACUAGCCACACAAAGUAACCACGUAGUUUCUUCUCCUUGGCAUAUGAAACCUUCACUCUAACGGCUUCGACAUCAUCAAAACCAAACCAAAUCUUCCCAAUCGAGAAGUAAUUCAUCACAUAAGUUGAAUUGUACAUAACUUGAACGUUAGGACCAUAGUGCUUGAUGCGAUUCUUGAUUUCCUUAUAAGUCACAAGGCCGCUAGAAUACAAAGCUGGUCCUGUUGCUGCUGCACCAAUACCGUUGUCCUCAGGUUUCACAAGCGUCCAUGCAUAGCCAUAGAAAGGUAAACAUAAAACCAAUUUAUCAGCCGAUAACCCUUCCUCAAUCCAUUCCGUGAUUCCGUAUUCAGUAUUGGAGAUACUAUUUGGAUCAUACAGAGCCGCGUGAGCACCAGUAAAAUUUGACCACAUAGGUUUUGUGUAUUCAGUAGUCAAAACAUGAACCCAAUUCAAGUAUUGACUUAUCGAGUCGACUGGGUAAGCUCCUGCUCUUGAGAAUGGUGAAUAUGCGACCAUUGCCGUCAAAAUCAACUGUGAUUGGCUCGAGUUAUUUCUUGCUUCUAAAUCUACGGCUGCUCGCCACUCUUUAAAGAGAAUGCCAAUAUUGUACUUAUCCCAGCUUGUGUUUGCCUGAGGCCAAGAGAGAUCUAAGCCUUGAAAGCCAUAAAGUCUUCCUAUUUUUAUUGAGGAGUCAAUGAAGGAUUUCCUAGAAGAAGGAUUGCUCGCCAUGGAAGAAUAAGUUGAAUAGUUUGCAUCAUUUCCUCCGAUGGAAAGAAGUGUAGUGAUUGAUGGGUUCUUUAUUUUGACAGUGUCAGUGAAGUUAGAGAAUUGUUUUUCAUCAGAAGGUGAUAAAGAAAGCUCAUAGGAAGUUGAAUUCGUUGAAACAAAAACAAACGUUAUGCCUUUGAUCGUGCAUUUCCAAAUAAACACAUAUUUUAGGUAAUUCCGAAAUUUACCACGAUCUCCCAUGAAUCCGAACUUGCAGCUUGUUAUGGAGCUUCAACAGAGUUGCUGCUGCUUCGGUCUAGCUUCUGAAUUCCGCUUUCUUUUCCUUCAGCUCCAGAUUCGGCUUUUCUCAGUAAGUUACUGUACACACACGGGAGAGAAACGGGAGAGAGAGAGAUGCACUGCACUCAUGCCAGAGAUUUCUUGAACAGUCAACUUCCAAUGGGCUGAAGUUACUUAAAUACAGUGGUUGAGCGCAGGGAACCCUCAUGUGUUAGUACAAAAUUACCCAUCCCAUUAUGGGCUUAAAUAACACAAUUAAGGAUAUACUUGUCCAUAAUAUACUACUGUACAGGGUAUGUCAAAAUUAGACUCAUUAACACCAUAUUUGAUCACUUAAUAAAUGAGUCUGUCAAAAUUGCUCAACAAUAUUUGACUUUAGUCACGUAUUAAUUCGGUAAAAUAUAGAAAAUAAUUAGAAUGAUUUAUGUCAGUCCACAUAAUGUGAGAAAUAAAUCUAACAGAAUUGACAUUAGCAAAACCACAUAUAAGGUGAGUGAAAAGAGCAGAAUUUACAUCUGAAACGGGGAACCCGUUGCCUGAAUCCCAGUAACCAGCUCUGAUUAAAGUUUGUGUUCCUGCAGGAAGCGAUUCUGAAAAUAUAAAAAUGUGGAGGACAAGAAUGAUAAUUUUGGAUGCCAUUGUGGGAACCUAGCUGCUUUGAGGCAUACCUAGUAAGUGAUUACAUAUAUAUGUACACACACAAUGUAAUGGAGAAAAUAUCCGAUAGCGAUUGAGAUUAGUUAUUGGACUAUAAUACAAACCUGAGGCAACUUUCAGCUCAUGAGCUUAUCUCAUAGGUCUUUAUACGAUAUCAAAGUCAAGUUACGAACGAGUGAUUCUAUACUACCUUUUAAUUUAACAAGGAGAAAGAUAAGAGAUCAACCUACACGUGACAGGGUGAUAGAAAAAAUUUAUCACAUUAGCUAAGAUUAAUUACUAUGUUAAUGAUAUAAGCUCAAAACAACACUCAACUCAAUAACAAGUUGUAAUUUAAUAAAGUUAGGUCAACUCGAUAUUUUAUAGAGUAUGUCGUGAGUGAGGAGGAGUUUAAGCAACAAAUCGAGCUCAUGAGUGAGGACACGUUUGAUUUUCACAAGAUUUUGCGUUUUGUGCACGUUGGUCAUGGACUGAAUCAACUUAGAAAAUAUUUUCACAAGAUUUUGCCUUCCAAUUGCAUGGAUGGAGUUAUAGAGGAAUACAUCGAAAAGUUCGUCUUCUUGCCAUGAUGAUAAGUGAAAAGAUUGAGGUUCUUAAAUUAAGCUAUGACCUUUUACCUCCACUUAGCUUGACUUUUGAAGCUGAAGACUCGUUCUUUUGUAUUGACUUUGUUGGUAUUUAAAUGACCUCGGAGUCUUGGACGUGUUUCUGAAGCAAUGUCAUGGUCUAUGAGUAGAUUUUUUUUUUUGGGUAAGAAAGGGAAAGUCUGUCGUUGGGAAAACAUCCUGACAACGGGAUGGUGGGAGGGAAAAAAAAAAAAAAAUUAUACACUUAGGGUCUGUUUGGAAAAAUGAUUAUAGGGUAUUAUAAUACUAUUCAUAUUGACUUAAUAUCAAUACUAUUCACAUCGAGUUUAGCUUAAUGUGGUAGUUGCCGCAUUAACGUUUUGCUUUUGUUUUUUUUUUUUUACUUUUGCUUUUUAAUAAUAAUAAAUAAUUAUAACUUUUUAAUUUAAUAUAUUAUUAUAUAAUAUCAAUUAUUAUUUUUUAUUUUUACCUCAAAAUUAUUAAAAUAAAUUAAUAAUUUUAUAAUUUAUUAUUCAUAUUUUAAUUUUUAUUAUAUUAAAAAUAUAACUAAAUAAUGUAUUAUUUAAUUAUAUAAUAAUUAAUAUAUAAAAUUAAUUAAUAUUUAAUAAGUUAAUAUAACUAACAAUAAGUACUUAAAUAAUAUAUAAAAAUUGAUUAUUAUUUAGAAAUUUAAUAUAACUAACAAUAAAUAUUUAUAUAUGAAUAAAUUUAAAUAAUAUUAAUUUAAAAUUAAUAUCAACAAAAAUAAUAACGUAAAAUAUCAUUAUGUUAUGAUAUUAUUUAGAGAUUAUUUGAUUAAAUUAUUUACUUCGAUCUUUAUUUCACAUGUUAUAUAUUUAGAAAAUACUGAAAAAUAAAUGUUAUGCUGCCGAAAAUAUAAGGCUAUAAGUUUCGAUCUUUACAAAAAAUUGUGAUGCUUUUUAACAUUUAUACUAAAAAAUAAUGUUAAAUUUCUAAAAUUUAAGACUUAUAUAUUUAGUAGUUUUCUAGGUACUAUAAAUAUUAUUUCCUAAAUAUAUAAUUUAAGUUAAUCACAAAAAAUUAAUACAAUAUAGUGUAGCAUCAAACGUUGUAUAACAUUAUUAUAAUAUAGUGCUAAUACAAUACAGCAUAAUGCAAUACACAUCCAUUAAAAUAAUAUAACAUAGUGUGCUAAACUCACCAUUAAUUACUUCCUAAUGUUAAAAUUCAGUAGUAUUGUAAUUUUAAUAAAAAAUUGAGACCCUUUUAUCAUUUAGAUGUAAUAUACUUACAUUGUUCCCACAACUUGUUUUGUAUUCGCUUCGAGACUCUUUUGCAAAAAUCCUAACCAUACCAAAAUCUGAAAUUUUAGGUUUCAUAUCUUGACCUAACAAAAUAUUACUAGCUUUCAAAUCUCGAUGGAUAAUAGUCAGUCUUGAGUAUUCUUUGAGGUAUAAAAACCUUUGAGUCAUCCCUUCAAUGAUAUGAACACGUUUUUUCCAAUCCAAAAUAAACCUUCUGAUGGGAUCUACAACAGAUAUAUAGUUUUAGACAAUAAGUGAUAUGCAAAUGAAUUAUAUACACAAUUAAUAUUAACUUGAUUUCAGAACAAACCAAAAAGGUAGCAAUCCAAGCUUUGUUUGGCAUGUACUCGUAGACUAGCAUUCGUUCCUCACUGUCAAUGCAAAAACCUAAAACUCUAAUAAGAUUUACAUGUUGGAGUUUUGCAGUAAGUAUAAUCUCAUUCUUAAACUCCUCAAAUCCCUGUGUGGAUGCUUUCGAAAGUUUCUUCAUUGCUAUCACCUCUCCGCAGGGUAGUAUACCCUGCAACCAAAAAACAAAUGUUCAUAUAAAGCUUGCACUAAUUAAAUAAGUUGAGAAAUGUUUGCCAAACAAUAUGUUUCCCUCCAAAGUUGAGGGCACCAUUUUAAGUCCUUUAAGUCCCCAUAGACGCAUGAAUCUCCUCUCAGAAAAUAUGGAUAUGGGUAGACAUAUCUUCCUAAAUAUUAGUAGAAGUAGUUAUAUCUCUCUAGUGCGAGGUCAGAGGUCUCAUGUCUAAUAGGUAUAGAUUUUUAAAUUAUAUGUUUUGGGCCUCUGAAUUUUACUCUAAGUGUAUGAAUUCAAAGUUCCGACAGAAUCCAAAUUGUAACAUUUGUGGAUUUUGUGUGUGUGUGUGUGUUAACUUGUAAACAGGACCAUAUCCACCUUCCCCUAGCUUAUUUCUAACUGAAAAUCCCUCGGUGGCCGCCUCAAUAUCAGCCAAACUAUAUACUCUGAGGUUAGGAACAUUUCUGUUAAAGUCUCCAGCUUCUGCUUCAUCAUUUGCUCUCGUGUUUGACGCUUUAGCAGAGUCCUCUGUUCCUAACAUCAACCAAGAGUAAAUAUUAGAUAAUUAAUUAAAUUUCAGUCUCAGUUACAUGUAUAUGAGUGAAAUACAUACUUAAUUAUAAUUAAUAACUGAAACUUGUUACCUUCAAUUAAGUUGAGCCUUUUCAUCCUGUUGUAUUUAUAUGCACAAAAGCCUAGAAGGAGAGUCAAAGCUGCCGCAGCAGUCGAAAUGAGGACCAAGGACAGACGCCGGUUAUUACUAUGUUCAUCUUUGUCAGCUGAAGCAGAAGUAAUCCUGUCUUUUUGUGCUGGAAAUAUGUAUAGUUCACCAAUUAAUAAUAACUAGCUAGAGAUGCCAUAACAAUCAUUAUUAAUCAGAGAGAACAAUUAUUGCAUAGAUAAAUACCUGCAGCUUGAGAAAGCACCCAAUUAUGAUCAUCAUAAUCCACUCGCCACACAUAGUAACCAAGCAAUCUCUUCUCUUUGGCAUAGGCGAUCUUAGCUCUAACAGCCUCCACAUCAUCAAAACCAAACCAAACCGCCCCAGUGGAGAAGUAAUUCACCACAUAAGUUGAAUUGUACAUAACUUGAACAUUAGGAGCAUAGUUCUUGAUGUGAUUCUUGAUAGUCCUAUAGGUCACAAGGCCAUCAUUAGUCAAAGCUGGUCCUGCUGCUGCUGCUCCAAUACCAUUGUCUUCAGGUUUCACAAGCCUCCAUGCAUAGCCAUAGAAAGGCAAAGACAUAGCCAACUUAUCAGCCGAUAGCCCUCUCUCAAUCCAUGCCUUUAAAACCUGAUCGGUACUUUUAGCAAAGCCGCCGCUACUUGAGCCAUGGAGAGCCGCAGGUGGCGCAGUGAAGUUUGUUGACAAAGGCUCGUAGUAGUGUUCAGUAGCAACAUGAACCCAAUUCAAGUUUCGUUGCAUCGAAUUCACAAGGUACGAAUUGUCUGGUGGUGAAUAAUGAAACCUUGCGGUCAGGAUCAGCUGGGAUUGCUGGCGGUUAGAGCUUUUUGCCUCUAAUUUUGUGGCAGCAGCUCGCCACUCGUCGAAAAGUAAACCAAUAUUGAGCAUAUCGGUGCUUGUGUUAGGAGAUGUCCAAGCAAAGUCUAGGCCCUUAAAGCCAUAAAGCCUAGCUAUUCUUAUUGAAGAGUCGAUGAAAGAUUUCCUGUGAGAAGAAUUUCUCACCAUUGAAGAAUAUAUAGAAUAGUUUGUAUUUCUUCCUUGUCCAAUGGAGAGAAGUGCAGUGAUUGAUGGGUUCUUUUGUUUCAUUUGUUUCACAGUGCCUGUAAAUUUGGGGAAUAUUUGAUUUCCAUCAAAUGGUGAUGAUAAAGAUAGCUGGUAUGUGGUGGAAUUGAUAUCAGCAGAAGAGCAAAUAAGGUGAGUGAAGAGAUCAUAAUUUAUGCCCGAAAUGGCGGAAACAUCGCCUGAAUACAAGUAACCGACCCUGAUCCACGGUUUUGCUUUCGCGGGAUGAAAUUCUGAAUAGAAAAACAUGUGGAAGAUGAUGCUGAUAAUUAUGGAUGCCAUUUGAGAGGCUUAAGCUUCUUAAUUAUUACCACUUCGAAGGGAAUGGAAAUGAAUGCACACUAAGAGAAAUUAAAUAAACACAAGUUUCACAGUUCAUUAAGUUCUUAUGUGUACUAUUAACGUAUAGGUUCAUUUCGUUGCCCAAAAAAAAUCUUAUGUACUCCUGAUAGGGACACACACAUUGCAUGUUAAGAUGAUGAUAGGCGAUGCGACCAUUGCCUAAGAACUAAGAUUUUCUUCUAUCGCCUGGGUGACUUUUCAUGAAGAAAAAUAAUGUUUUGAUUGACAUUUGGUUAAACUGAUGACAUAUUUCGGGCUACAAAUAUCAGUAUUGUUUUAUUAAAUAAUAAAAAUAAUAAUUUUACGUGCAUGUUGAAGGUUAUAUUGCAGUCUUUUGAGCCUGUGUUGAAUUUCAUUCGUGUGCGUUCAUUUAUUAUCCAUCCCCUUUUUUCUCUGAGUCUGCUAGCCGUAGUCAUCUUAAAAGGAUAACAUGUUUAAUGCGUGUAAAUGCACCUCAUAAGUAGUUAAGAAAGAUUUGACCAAACCAGAUAAUUUUCCUCUUAACACAGAAGUAGUUAUCGGACUAAUUAAGAUUCUAAUCCAUUUAAGAAAUAUUCAAAAAGGGUUAUUGUCACUACUUUAGUCCUUGUUGUUUUAUUAAAGAAAAAAAAAAGAUAUUUAAAGAAGCAUCACAUAAAUCCUUCCUAAUUACAUUUUGUUUCAUUCAAGUUCUUGACUUAAUUUGACUGCUUGGAAAAAUUAGUAAAAAGGUAAAAAUGAAAAAAAAAAUGUAAAUUCCAGUUAUUAGACUAAAUAUAUAUAAAUUUGCAACAAGUAGCAAAAGUUUAGAAUAUGAAAAACCCUAUUUUGUUUACGAAAUAAAGGAAAUUCGAAUCAUUUUCAAAAAAAAAAUCUCUAAAAGUUUGAAAACUAAGAUUUUAAGGUCCUUCUAGACUAACCAUAAAUAACAUGAAUUUACCAAAUUAAGCAAACUCGAAUUAUUAUUACACAAUAAAAUUUUACUAAUGGAAAUAAGAAAACAAAAUAAAUAACACUCAAAUUCGAUGUCUAAAAAACAAAGAUAAAAAUCAUGAGAGCAAUAGAAAAAAAAUAAAAUAAACUAAAACUUGCAAAAUGACCAUGAAAGAAAUAAAUUUUUUUGCUGAACCAAGGGGCCGAUACAUAUAGCCUUAUUGUACUAGAUUCAUCUCACUGCAAGUUUCAAAACAAUAUAUUAUAUGUCUUAAACAAACUCUUGUAAAUUAAGUUAUGACCUUAAAAAAUAUCCUACUCAUCUUACAUAAAUAUCCUAUGUCACUAUAUAGCUAUACAAUAAUAAUAUAAUCCAAACACUUAUGGAGCAUAACUCACGCACCUCCAUUAAUAACCGUGAAAUUUACUCACAUUUUAUAAGAGAGAGGAAUGUUCUCAUUUAUUGGGGAUUAAACCAAAUAGUCUAUCUUCGAUAUUUCUGCUAGGUUGUGUCAGGUUGGGCUUUUUAGAAUUUCUUUGACGAAAAGUCAUUCUCUUCAACAGCCAAAUCUUGGGCCAGUGGGCAAUUAUGAAAGUCCAUUGGAUGCAUUGGACCAAACUAAACGUACAAUUUUUUUUUUCUUACAAAAAAAAAAUUAGAGUUGGACUAUUGACACCCCUCUCAUCUCCUCAUAAAACCCCCUUUUUAGUUAUAUUUAUUUUAUUUUAGAAAAUGCCCUUUUUUAGAUACACGUUUCUAAGUUUUUAAUUUUCAUUUGAUUUGUUUUAUUGUUAAAACUCAAAGUAUUAUUGUGUUAUUUUUUAAUUAUUUUCAAUUUUAUUAUUAAUCUACAUACAAAUUAAAAAUUUAUAUGGGUGAUAAGUUUUUUAGUGUUAAUCAUUGGUUGAAAUAACACAUAUUUCAAAUUAUAAUUUCAAAGCAAUUUUAAGUAUAAAAAUAUUUAAUCAAUAAGAAAUCAAAAGAGAAUAAUAGAUUAUUCUAAAUUUGUACAAUUUAUUUUAGUUAAAUAGGAAGUAAAAUAUAAAUUUUUUUAAAAAAUGAUUGAUUAUGAAUUAAGUAAUUUGCUGGGAAAAAAAAUCUAUAUAUGUUUAAUUUUCAAUUGUCUUUAAUUGUAAUUUUAUUUAAAGUGGUGUUUUGUAAGAAUAAUGUAGGGGUGCCAAUAGCUCCACUCAAAAAAUUAUAUCUAUAUAUUCUCUUCAACAACCUAAAACUGGGCCAAUGGGCAAUUAUGAAGUCCAUUGGAUGUAUUGCACCAAACUAAAAGUCCAAUUUUUUUUAUUACUACAAUAUAUAUAUAUAUAUAUAGUAGUUUUCUAAUUAGGGAUUCCUGACUUUAAUAAAGUCAUGGAUCAGCUAAAAGACAAAUAUACAGUGCAUUGGAGUCUGUGUUUAUUUUGUCUUUUAGCUAAUUCCUGAUUUUAUUAAAGUCAGGGAUCCCUGAUUGGAAAACUACUAUAUAUAUAUAUAAACAAAUGUUUUAAUUUAGAAUUUUAAAGUGCGGGAUAGUAUAUAUAUAUAUAUAUAUAAACAAAUGUUUUAAUUUAGAAUUUUAAAGUGCGGGAUAGUCUGGAAUAUGCAGUUUUAAAAACUUAAAACUGUAAGCCUUUAAAACCAUACAAUUUUAAAUUUUUCUCAAAUUUUCUCGUACUUUAAAAUUUCAUACUAAAAAACUACUACAUAUAUCAAUAAAUGAAAUGACACAAUACAGUUGGCUUGCCGUUGCAAAGCCUCUUUGUUUGUUAUUAUUUAUUGGCUUAUUGCAAUAAAGACUAAAGAGAGCUUUGAGCCAUGCAGCAUGGGAAGCUACAUUAAAAAAUAAAAGAAUUUAAAGCUUCAAGGGCAUAAAGCGUGCCCACCCAAUUAAAUUUUUCUUUAAAAAAGAAAAAAAAAGGCUGCAAUUGCAAUGACUUGAAUUUAUCAUCAAUUCUGGCUUAAUUUGCCCCCGUCAUUUUUUCAAGGAGAAUGUCCAACUCAAUUGUGACGGCUACUGCUUCAAUUUUAAUUUUAUUUUUCUCAAGAAUAGUCAUUUUCAUCCACCAUAUUCCUGCAUCCUGAUGCGUCCUUAUUGCUUAUAUUAUUAUAGACCACUUUUGGAAGCAUAACAAAUUUUGCACACAUGGUAUCCAUCUUGCGGACCCAAAUGUUGAUGAUAUACUUGCAUGCUGCAAAAUAAGCCCUUUUAAUAACUUAUCAUCUGGUAAAUGAUAGUUUAUUUAUUUAUUACAUAACAAAUAUGUUAUGCCAUAUGCCACCUAUUAGUGAAAGAUGUUUAAAUAACUACUCUUGUAGUAAACUCCUGAAUGAUGGCAAGUUAGAUUUAUACUUAAUGCACUAACUUCGAUAUUAUUUUUUUUUUACAUGGUAAUUAUUUUCUUCUCGCUAGGAAGUUGCAAUGAUUGAUAAUAAGGGAGCAUUUUGCUUUAUAUACAAUCCUUAAUAGAAGAUUUUCUAGAGAUGUUUAUUAUUAUUAUUAUUAUUAUUAAUCCCGCGUUGGUCAGGAUUUGAUUACUAUAAUAUUGACGAUUCGAUUUCUAACAAUUUUGUUUAUUAUAAAAUUAAAACAAAUGAGUAGUCAUCUAGAAAAUCAUAAUCUCUUUAAAGGCAUCAAAAGGCAAUGGCAAUGUAAAGUGAAUGUGCAUGAAUCUAUUAGUAACAUGUUUGCACGUGUAUUAAUCUUAAAAUAGUCAGUCUUGAAUAUUCCUGGAGGUAUAAAAGCCCUUGAGUUAUCCCUUCAAUGAUAUGAACACGUUUUUUCCAAUCCAAAAUAAGUCUUCUGAUGGGAUCUACAACAAAUAUAUAGUUUUGGACAAUAAGUGAUAUGCAAAUGAAUUUUAUACACAAUUAAUAUUAACUUGAUUUCAGAACAAACCAAAAAGGUAGCAAUCCAAGCUUUUGUUUGGCAUGUAUUCGUAGACCAGCAUCCGUUCCUCACUGUCAAUGCAAAAACCUAAAACUCUAAUAAGAUUUACAUGUUGGAGUUUUGCAGUAAGAAUAACCUCAUUCUUAAACUCCUCAAAUCCCUGUGCGGAUGAUUUCGAAAGUUUCUUCACUGCUAUCACCACUCCACAGGGUAAUACACCCUGCAACCCAAAAAAAAAACCACGUUCAUAUAAAGCUUUCACUAAUUAGAGACGCUGAGAAAUGUUAGCCAAACAAUAUGCUACCCCCCAAAGUUGAGGGCACCAUUUUAAGUCCUUUAAGUCCCCAUGGACGCAAAAUGUAAAUCUCCUCUCACAGAAUAUGGAUAUGGGUAGAGGUAUCUUCCUCAAAUGUUAGUCGAAGUAGUUAUAUCCCUCUAGUGUGAGGUUAGAGGUCUCAUCUCUAAUAGGCAUAGAGUUUUAAAUUAUAUGUUUUGGGCCUCUGAAUUCUACGACGAGUGUACAAAUUCAAACUUCCGAUAGGAUCCAAAUUGCAACAUUGUGGAUUGUAACAAAUUAAAAUAUAGGUACACACACACACACAUGUUACCUUGUAAACAGGACCAUAUCCACCCUCCCCAAGGUUAUUUCUAAUUGAAAAUCCCUCGGUGGCCGCCUCAAUAUCAGCCAAACUAUAUACUCUGAGAUUAGGAACAUUUCUGUUAAAGUCUCCAGCUUCUGUUUCAUUAUUUUCUCUCGUGUUUGAUGCUUUAGCAGAAUCCUCUGUUCCUAACAUCAACCAAGAGUAAAUAUUAGAUAAUUAAUUGUAUGUCAGCCUAAGUUUUAUAUAUAUAUGAAAUGCAUGCUUAAUUAUAAUUGGUAGCUGAAGCUUGUUACCUUCUAUUAACUUGAGCCUUUUCAUCUGGUUGUAUUUAUAUGCACAACAACUUAGAAGGAGAGUCAAAGCUGCCGCUGCAGUCGAAAUGAGUACCAAGGACAGAUGGCGGUUAUUACUAUGUUCAUCUUUGUCAGCUGAAGCAGAAGUAAUGCUGUCUUUUUGUGCAGGAAAUAUGUAUAGUUCACCAAUUAAUAAUAACUAGCUAGAGAUGCCAUAAAAAUCAAUAUUUAUUGGAGAGAACAAUUAUUGCAUAUAUAAAUACCUGCAGCUUGAGAAAGCACCCAAUUAUGAUCAUCACAAUCAACUCGCCACACAUAGUAACCAAGCAAUCUCUUCUCUUUGGCAUAGGCAAUCUUAGUUCUAACAGCCUCCACGUCAUCAAAGCCAAACCAAAUCGUCCGAAUCGAGCAGUAAUUCACCUCAUAAGUUGAAUUGUACAUAACUUGGACAUCAGGACCAUAGUCCUUGAUGUGAUUCUUGAUUUCCUUAUAAGUCGCAAGGCCGCUAUCAUACAAAGCUGGUCCUGUUGCUGCUGCACCAAUACCAUUGUCUUCAGGUUUCACAAGCCUCCAUGCAUAGCCAUAGAAAGGCAAACACAUAACCAACUUAUCUGCCGAUAAUCCUCUCUCAAUCCAUGCCUUUAAAACCUGAUCGGUACAUCUAGCAAAGCCGCCGCUACUUGAGCCAUAGAGAGCCGCAGGUGGCGCCGUGAAGUUUGUUGACAUAGGCUCGCAGUAGCUAGCAGUAACCGCAUGAACCCAAUUCAAGUUUCGUUGUAUCGAAUUCAAAAGAUAUGAAUUCGCUGGUGGUGAAUAACGAAAUCUUGCGGUCAAAAUCAGCGGGGAUUGCUGGCGACUAGAGUUUUUUGCCUCUAAUUUUGUAGCAGCAAUUCGCCACUCGUCAAAAAGUAAACCAAUAUUGAACAUAUCGGUGCUUGUUUUAGGAGCUGUCCAAGAAAAGUCUAGGCCCUGAAAGCCAUAAAGCCUAGCUAUUCUUAUUGAAGAGUCGAUGAAAGAUUUUCUGUGAGAAGGAUUUCUCACCAUUGAAGAAUAAAUAGAAUAGUUUGUAUCCUUUCCUUGUCCAAUGGAGAGAAGUAUAGUGAUUGAUGGGUUCUUUUUUUUCACGGUGUCUGCGAAUUUGGCGAUUUGAUUUUCAUCGGAUGGUAAUGAUAAAGAUAGCUGGUAAGUGGUGGAAUUGAUAUCAGCAGAAGAGCAAAUAAGGUGAGUGAAGAGAUCAUAAUUUAUGCCCGAAAUGGUGGACACGUCGCUUAGAUCCAAGUGACCGACCCUAAUCCACGGUUUUGCUUUCGCGGGAUGAAGUUCUGAAUAGCAACGUGUGGAAGAUGAUGCUGAUAAUUAUGGAUGCCAUUUGAGACUUUGUUAGGAAUGGAAAUGGAUCCGCAGAAGAGAAAUUAGAUAAACACUAGUUUCACAGUUCAUUUAAGUUCUUAUGUAAACUAUUAACGUAGAGGUUCAUUUCGUUCAGAAAAAAAUCUUAUGCGCUCCUGGAUAGGCACAUACAUUGCAUGUUAAGAUGAUGAUAGGCGAUGCGACCAUUGCCUAAGAACUAAGAUUUUCUUCCGUCGCUUGGGUUGGCUGACUUUCCAUGAAGAAAAAUGAUGUUUUGAUUGACAUUUGGUUUAACUGAUGACAAAUUUCAGGCUAUAAAUAUCAGUAUUGUUUUAUUAAAUAAUAAAAUAUAAUAAUUUUACAUGUACGUUGAAAGUUAAUAACUUAAUAUUGCAGUCUUUUGAGACUGUGUUGACGUUUAUUCGGGUGCAUUCGUUUAUUAUAUAUUCCCGUUUUUCUCCCUGUGUGUUUGCUACAGUGCUCUUAAAAGAAUAACAUGUUUUUUUUCGACAAUAAAAGAAUAACAUGUUUAAAGCAUGUAAAUGCACCUCAGAAGUAGUUAAGAAAGACUUGAUAAAAAACCAGACAUUUUCUCUCUACUCAAAAAGUAGUUAAGACUGUAUGAACCAAUUAAAACGUCAGAUUCAUACUAUAACUAUGAUGAUUCAAUAAGACCUUCAAACUAAAUCCACAGAUUCCAUGAGUAAGAAACAAUGGAUCACAUUUUUUUAAGUUUAUGCUUUGAGUAAAAUAAAAGUAGAAACAUGAAUUUGAAAGAAGCAAUUUAGUUAUAAAAAAUUGUCAAGUAAUUAAUUGUUUGGCAUUUAUUUUAUGGGUCCCAACCCAUGUGAUCCGUAAAAUGAGACACCUUAUGUGAUUGGGUGCGCCAUGGUGCGCUAACCUCAUAUAAGCUUCUCUCUUCUUACGGAUAUAACUGUAUAUGGGUGGCAUUAUGUAGUGCCCCACAUGGGCUCUUUAAAAUUAUUUUAUGUGCAUUUUAAACAUUCCCUCGUUAUUGAUUUGAAACACUAAAAAUGCCUCUCUUAAAUUUUAAAAAUAUAUAAAAAAAAUUGCGUGUUUAAAGAAUGCUUGAUGUCUCUAGCCUAACAGUUAGCACACCUAUUGUAUACACUUUUACUUUUUUCUUCUCUAAACUUUCACUCCUCUUUUCUCUGAUUCUUCACACUUCACUGAUCUUUUAUCUCUAAAAAAAUUAAACUGUCUCUAGAAGCUUAUUACUAAUUUUCUGAUCUAAUUAUUUACAUAAGUAUUCUUGAUUGAUUAUCACUUCUUUAAUUUUUUGAGGGGGAUUUCUCUUGGAUGAAAGAAUUAAGGUUAUGUUCUAAGAAAAUUUUAACUCCCAUGUUAUAGUUUUGAUAAUGAGAUUAUCCUUAAAUUUUCAAUAUAUGAAAAUACUUCGAAACAACUAUUAAUUCGUUGAAUGAAACAUCCUAAUGAACUUAGAUUUUGGUACUUAUUAUUUAUUGAACUUUUUCUUUUAAAUUACAUUACUAUUUGAAGUGUGGCGGUAUAUGGUCUCUAGUCCAAAUGACGAAAUCAAAUCACCAUGUGCAUUAGUGUUUUGUUUGUGUGGUUGGAGGGGGGGGGGGGGGGGCGGUGUUUUUUAUUGGUGCAGGAAGAAAGCUCUUCAGGACUACUCGGAAAAAUAUAUAUAUAUAUAUGAGCAACACAUAGUCCAUUUCGCAUUGCAUAGAAGUAAAACCGAAGCAUUACACAAAAAGCACACGUUAUUUAUAUUUUUAGUUAUUGAUAAGAAAAUUUUUUCCCUCUUAUUAUCAUCUUAAUUAAGAAAAAUAGUAAUUCGUUUAACUGUUUGCGAAAAAUGAUGGCAAUAUACAAUAAUAUUGUGUUGAUGACCUUGAAAGCUAAUUCUUUUGAAACAGGAAAACUGGUAUCGUAUUCAAAACACAUAAAAGACGUAUCCAAGCUUUUAAUGUGAUCUAAAGAUCUCAUAGCUACAUUCGAAAUUAAUAAAUGAUCCCUAAGAGUUACGAAACUGAUAUCAAUGAAAUUACAAACUCUUAAGAGUUUAUAGAACAUUAAUUGAUCCAAAUCCAAUACAAACUGCUUACUAGUACAGCCUCAAGAGAGCCAUUUAUUUUUCAGUAGGCAAAUUAAGCAACUGCAGCAGUCACUAGCAGCUUGCCAAGAGCUAGCAUAGAUCAAUUGUUCAUCUUCAUAAGCUUUCUUUGAGAAAGUUUCAAGCUUCUUUGGAGUCAUUAUAUCGGCUGUGUUCUCGUUUUUGAGCAUCGAAUAAACUUCCAGCAUAGAAGGUCUACCGUUUGGGUUCUCCUGAACACAUAACAAAGCUAUUUGCAGACAUGUCAAUAAUUUCCAUGAGGAAUGCGCAUCAUCUAGUGAUGGAUCCAUUAACUUUAUGCCUUUCCCAUCCUUCCACAACUUGUAGGACUGAAAACAUCAAAUAUGUUAUUGAGUUACAUUCAAUUAAAUAGCACUAUAAAGUUUUGACCAAUUGUGCAUUAUAAAGGGGGUUAUACAGAAACUUACAUAGUGUACAAGGCUUAAAUUUUCAUUAUGACCAUAUUAAAUAAAAAAUCUCCUUCCAUUUAUAAUUUGCAAAAGUAAAAUCUCAAAACUGUAGACAUCAUAUUUAGUAGAGUAGAUGCCUCUUCUACAUACCCAGGAGGGAUGUAGCCAUUGUGGUACCGAUUAAUUACAAACGUCAUUGAAAUUGUUUGACCUAAAAGAUUAAGUUGAUUGGUAAAUGUUUAACAAUAGUAUUAAAGAUAAGUCGAAGAAAAUAGACAUAUAUAUACUUACUGUGUUCCAACAAUUCGAUUUGUGUUUGCUUCAAGAUCAUCUUUCACAAAAAUUCUAACGAAGUCAAAAUCUGAUAUUUUUGGUUUCAAAUCUUCAUCCAACAAAAUGUUACUAGCUUUCAAGUCUUAAUGAAUAACUAUUAAUCUAGAAUAUUCUUGAAGAUAGAAAAGCCCUUGAGUAAUUCCUUAAAUGAUAUGAAUGCAUUUUUUCCAAUCCAAAAUAAACCUUCGGAUGGGAUCUACAUCAAAUAUAAGUAUAGUUGGACGGUCUGUAGCAUUAGCAUUUAGAAAUGAGAAAUGCAAAUAAAGGAUUUCGUAAAUGAAGAAUUGCUCGCUGGAAGAAUAAGUUGAAUAAUCUGCAUUUCCUCCUCCGAUGGAAAGAAGGGUAGUGAUUGUUAGGUUCUUUGUUUUCAUAGUGUGUGUGAAGUUGAAGAAUUGUUCCUCAUCAGAAGAUGACAAAGAAAGUUUGUAGGACGUUGGAUCGACAUAAGCGAAACCACAAAUAAGGUGAGUGAAGAGAGCACAUUAUUUAUAUCUAAAAUGGGGAAGCCAGGCCUGGUUCCCAAAUACUAGCUCUGAUUAAAGUUUUUGCUUUUGCAGGAAGCGAUUCUGAAAAUAUAAAAAUCUGGAGGACCUAAGUGACAAAUUUGGAUGCCAUUUUGGAAAGCCAGCUGCCUGAAACAUGCCCAGUCUGUAUGUGUUUUUAUACACACACACAGAAAUUAUCCUAUAUUGACCGAGAUUAGUUAUGGUCCUAAAUAAUAUAUGUUUUAAGCAACCCUUAACCCAUGAGUUAAAGUUUAUAAACAGUAUCAGAGUCAGGUUAUGGACAAAUGCGCUUAUAUUACCAGACUAAAAUAUCAGCGUGCAUUUGAUGGAAUGAUAGGAAAAAUAUCCCACCUUAGUUAAGAUUAGUUACUAAGUUAAUAAUAUAAGAUUAAGGCAAUCUUCCACUCAUAUAACGCAAGAGUAUGAAUCACAAUUUAAUAAAACUAGGUCAAUUCGAUUUUUUAUAAAGAUAUAUGAGCUACAACUUGAGGUCGCUCACGAGUGGGGACGAGUUAGAUUAAGGCAAUCUUCAACUCAUAUAAUGUUGAUCAUGGACCGAAUCAACAUAGGAAACAAAAGUCGAGGAAGUUGAAUCUCCUUGCCUUCAAGUUGCAUGGAUGGGAGUCAUACAACGAAAAGGUUGUCUUCGUUCAAUGACGAUCGGCUUGAAGUUCUUAAAUUAAGCUACGGCGUUUGCCUCCACUUAGCUUGACUUCUGAAGCUGGAGACUCUUCCUUUUGUAUUGGCUUCGUUGGUACUUAAAUUACCUCGGAGUCUCGGAUGUGUUUCUGAAGCCAUGUCAUUGUCUACGAGUAGAAUUUUUUUUUUUUUUUUUUUUUUUGGGGGGAAGAAAGAGGAAGUCUAUCGGAAAAGUAGUAAAAUGAUAUUUUUUGUAAAGAUAUAGUAGGAAAAUGAUAGGGAGCAAUACUUCUUGUAGUCAUUUGAUAUUUGUCAAAUUUUAAAGUAGUGAAAUGAUAAUAACCCAAAAAAAAAAACAAAACGUUUUUCAAUCAAAAACAAAAAUAAAGAAAUAAAUAGACAAUCCCAUGUAUAAAAAGCUAACCGGGAAUGGUGAAGACGACACUGACAUCCUCCGUUUCUCUAUUAAGCUACUUCAAGUGUUUAAGGUUUUUGAUAAUUAUAGAAAUUAAGAAAUAACAUGAAGAAGAAUGAUCAAUUAGGGGAAGUGAUUGAAGUUGAUGUGGGUUUGGACGGUGGAUGAUGAAAGCUGACUUUGUUUUGUUAUGUAAAAUCAACGGUGCCCAAAAGGCUGUUCUGACGCAGAUGCUUCACUUCCUUGCAUACUGCUGUAGAAAAAAAUGGUUUUUUUCUAUCUAAAGGUUAAUAGUUUAGUUUGGUGAAAAAGAAUUUUAAGUACAGUAAAAUUUUUAUAAAUUAAUAAUUUUCUAUCAUAUAAAAUUUAUUAAUUUAAAAGAAGUAUUAAUUAAUCUAUAUUAAUAAUUUAUCAAUUUAUAAAGUGUAUAUACAAUUCGAUAAACAUACAUUUUAAUCAAUUAAAAUUCAUUGUAUUUUACCAAUCUAAUAAAUUAAAAAUGAAUUAAUCUACUAAAUAUAAAUUAAAUUAAUAAAAAAAUUUAUAAUUCUUACAAUUUCAAAAUUCAACCCUUAAACUUCUAGAAGUGAUACGCAUAGCAUUACUCAAUUUAAAUUCAACCCUUAAAAUCAUGGCAAGAGAAUAGUGAAGAAAAAAGAAAAGAAAAGGAAAAAACAAACUCACAAACACUUAGUUAUCGACCUCUAUGGCCUAUGCCACUGGCCUGUAGAACUAACUCCCUCAGAAAUGAUUUCAAGUUCCUGUAAUUUUCUGUAUAAAAUGAGAGCAUUUUCCUCUUUAAAGCAGGGGCAGUAACAGUGUCACAAUAGAAAGCAUUCUGAUGGUAAGAUUAAGUAGUAUUGUGAUUUUAAUUGGGGGGAAAAUGUCCCAUACGCUUAUUUCCUUAUGUGAUUUAGAUUCAAGUCAAGACGACCCUCCAUUUUAGUAUAAAAGUCUAUACAAAUGUACGUUUUACUCAAUGUUUACGUAGAAACAAAUGAUUUGCUGAUUUAGUACCACUCUUGUUUACUGGGUGGGAUUUGGCUCCUCCAAAUUUGUAGCCAAUAUUUUACUUUGAUGAGAAAAUCAAAUAACGUUUCAACAAAUAAUUUUUCUUUUCUACGUACUUUCUUAAAACGUAUGGAGUGAGUAAAGUACAAAUUGAUUUUUUAGCCCUUUGACUCUUCCAUAUUCAAACUCAAAUUAGUGGUCUGUUAAAUAUUGCUACUUAAAAUCAUUCAGCCAAAUAUUGUAAAAACUAUAAUUUCACAAAGUCAAAGUUUCAUUGAUUAUUGAAUUGUAGAGUGUGCUAUCAUUUCCUAGCUAAAAAUUUGUUUAGUUCUAUUAAGUUUCAAUCAUUUUUUAUUUUAUUUAAUUAAUUAAAGUGAAUUUAUUAUGUAUAAAUGCUAUUUAUGUGAAAUUUUAAAAUCCAGUGCUAAAUUGAAUUGUACUAAAUUUUUAUAAUUUUUUGUCACACCUGCAUUUCUAACAGUUUAGUAUAAAUAUUGAGAGCAAAUAGUAUAUAGGAUUAAAAGAGAUUGAUUUCGAGUGCUACAAGAUUUUUAGGAUUGCAUGCGCAAGGGUUUAAAAACAAAGUGUGCAUUUAAUUACACUAAACGUAGGUGCAUUUUUAUGAUGAAAUAAAAACUGGUUGUAUAAAUGGCUCCAUAAUUAGUGUACUUAAUAUCCAUCUAGCUAUCACUUCCGAAAAUGAUAUCAGAAGCCGAACACAUUUCCAACUGUAUUUUAGAUAAUAGUUCAAUCCCAAUUUCGUCAACUUGUUUUGAGAAAGCAGGCUUCUUGGGAGAAUUUAUAUUUCGUCAACUUGUUUCGUCAAUUUGUGCAUAUAAAUGUCUAUCAUUUGGAUUCUCCUGGACACACAACAAAGCUAUAUCCAGACGUCUCAUUAAUUUACAAGUGAAAUUUGUAUAAUCUCGUGAUGAAUCCACAAACUCCAUAUAUAUUUUUUUUUUUACCACGAGGUAUCAUGGGGAGGGCCCCAACUGUGGGAGGCACCUUUAAGUCCGUACCACAACUCAGACUAGAAGUCCCCGCUCGAACCGAGAGGCACAGGUUCUCCCAACAAAGGCGACUUCCCUACGACUUGAACUGGGGAGCAAACCCAGUCAAGCCAUUUAAGGGGACUCCAUUGCCAGUGGAGCCAACACUUUGUUGGUUAAACUGGAUAUUUUAUCUUGCUACAAACUCCAUAUUUUCACAACUCAUAUGCCUGAAAUUAUCAAGUAUUAUCUUGCUACAUAUUUUAUACUACUUAGUUAAGUGCAUAUAUAUAUAUAUAUAGACACAUACACACACACACACUAAAGGUUACUAUAGCCAAAGAAAUUUACAUGCUCUAGAAGACUUAAAUUUCCAUCGAUGCCACAUAGGCACAUAACAUAAAAAGACUUUUCCCAGUUAUCAUUCGUAAAAGUAAGACUUCAAAACUAAAAAUGUUUGAUUCGGUAGAGUAAACAUCUCUAUGAGUGUAUUUAGGAGGAAUAUAACCUCUACAUUUGAAAAUAACCAACACUCACUACUACAAAAAUGACUUUUACUGACACUUUGUUUCUGACACUUUGAAAAAAGUGUCAGUAAUUACCUAACUAUGCACAAUUUUCCGCUUUUAACAAAUAAAUGUCACAAAUUAUUAAUACUAAUGUAUCAGUAAAUUAAAUAUUAGAGAUCACUGAUACUUCAGCAUCAGAGAUCUAAAAAGAAUCAUUAAAAUUUGUUUUGAUUUUAACUCGAACCUGGGAUUUCUAAAACUCAAAACUUUUACGUUUAGAUUGCAAACCACUGGACCCCAUAAAAUUGAGUUGGAAUUACAAUGUUAUAUAAAAUAUUAACAUAUAAAAAACCAAACCCUAAUUCCCCUUUUCCAUUGUGCAAUAGAGCCCAUGCCGCAGCUGCUGCGUAAUUUCCUUGCCUUUCUUGACUUCUUCUUCUCUAUCGUGAAAGAUGGAGAAUGACCAGGCCCAAACGCCCACGCCCACAGCCGCGCCCAACCCCCACGGCUGCGCCCACCCCCACGCCGUUGCCACUAUCACUUCCGUUCAAGUGGUUCGACACUGCAGGUACUAAAUUAAGAAUUUAAAACAUGUAAAACGAAAGUAAAACAUAUCCCAAACUUAGCAAUUGUCCCCAUCUCCCUGUCUUUUAUACACACAAAUCUCUAACCCAAACUCAAACCCAAAACUGUCUCUUGCCUUUCUCUUUCUCUUUCCUUUUUCUCUUCUCGAUCUCUUCCUUUUUUUUCUGUCCAUUCACAAACUCGUUCAUUUAACUUAAAUAGAUAAUAUAAAGCUAAAACCCUAAGUGAGGCUUUUAUUCCCUUUUUCCUUUUUUUUCCCAAAUUGAAAAACGGACCAAAACCGUAAUCGAGGCUUCUUUUAUCAAUUUUUUUUCUUUUUAUGGUCAAAUUUCACUUUUUUUUUGUUCAAUAUUCAAAACCCAUUUGCUUGAAUUUGAAUAAAAUUAUUGAGAAAUUAGUUAAUUUUCUUGCUAUGGAAGGGAUACCACACCUUAUACGUAGACCUGUGAAGGAGAUUUUCAAUGACUUUAAGGGCAAACAGGUUGCCUUGAUUAAGGCUUUAACUGCUGGUAAUGGCUUAAUAUUUUAUUUUCUUUGUCAAAUUAAUUAAUAAUUUUUUUUUAUUUUAGCUUAUCAUUAUUAGGGUUUUUUGUUAAUUUUAAUUUUCUGGGUUGUUGCAGAUGUUGAGAAAUUCUGCCAGUGGUGCAGUCUUGGUGGGAUUUCUUUUCCAUAUCUAUUUUUUGUUUAUUUAAUUGUAAUUUGAAUUUUUUUCUUUUUUUUCCUAUAUUUCUAUAUUAUAUAGAUUGAAUGGCUGUGUAUUUCAUAAUUAUUAAGUGUUAUUUAUUGCUCUGUUUCAUGUAAAGAUAGGCAAAUUAUGUUAUAGAAACCAACAUGUUUAUUUUUUUAUUUUUUUUAGUUGGAAGAUUUUUAAUAGAGACAAUGACUAUGAUAUGAAUUAACUAAGUUCAUGAUUUGUCUUUAAUUCAAGAAGAAAAUGCUUGUUUUUAGGUAGUUUUGCUUGUUGUAGCACUUGAAGACUUACAUUUUCUUUGUUCAUUUGCACGGUUAGUUUCGCUCUUAUUCAGAAAUUUCUGUGUUUCCUCACUUGCAUGGUCAUUAAUUCAUUCCAUGAUUUUUCUUCUGUAAACACACUUUUAUUUUCCUUUCACUAGUUUGAAGGAAUUUAUUUUUUUAAAAUAAAAAAUUCUAAAGAUUGAAAUGAAUUGAAAUUGUUGCUAUAAUGUACUUUCUUUGCUGCUGAAGUUCAAGGAAUGUCUAUUUAAAUGAACUAGAACUUGAAAAAUCUUGAAGUGUUGUUGUACCCAUAGACUUCAUUUUUUUUCCUGCACAUUACACUUAUUUUGUUCAUCUUCUUACCUUCAAUUUGUCGUAGAGGUUAACAAUGAUUGACGAGAAAUGGAGGUUUGCAUUUACUGCGGCUGAAUCUCAUGAACAAGAAGUUGGCAAACUGAGGUCUGUAUUUUUUCCUCAAAUUCAUAGUUGAAUUCAUAGUAAGCUCAAAGCAAUUGAUUGAGGGAGAAAAUAAAUUGAGUUUUAUUUAUUAGUAUAAUUUUUGUUAUUUAGUGCUUUACACUCUUCAUGACAACUUCUGCGAUCUUGUCCUAUUACCUUAAGGUACUACUGGAUAUUUGAGAAAAAAUUAAAAAUUAUUAAGAUUAUCUUUCUUUGAUGAUAGAAUUACAAUAUGUCUUCUCACUUAUUAUAGUUCAUCCAAUUUUAUUUUUGUUGCACAGUCUGUGGAAAUCAGAGUACCACAUUUAAGAGUUUUUAUAAAAUGUCUCCUUUACCUUUCCUAUUAUUUAAACUAAUUUCAUGUGUAUUUCUUUAGUUAAUGAUUGAUUUUCAAGUAGUUGAAGGAAAGUAACUUGUAGAACCUCCUUCUAAAAUUGGUCUGGAACCUUUGUGUGCAAUGGUUAGUGAAAUCAUAAUCCGUGGCUUGUGUUAAUAUGCAUCGAUUGUGUGAAAACUAUUGUUUACUAUUUUCUGUGGCUGGUUAUUAACAUGAUUCACAGAUAAACAACAAUAGACUCAUACCCAUAUGCUUGCUUGUUUUCAACAAGCAUUUUUUUUUUGUAGGUUUUUUUUUUGUGCGUCUCUCUUUGAAGAAUAAUAUGAUUAUCUUACACGAAAUGGGGAAAUUCCAUUAUCUUGCUGCAAGUUUUUUCCUAGUUCUAUAGUUCUACCGUUUUGUAUCACCUUGGAUGACAUGUCGAGUGAAUCCUGGAACAUCAUUUUAUCUUGUUUGUACCUAUAAUACGUUGUGUUCAAUGUUCUUGAAAUUUUUGGGCAUGGCUGCAAACAAAUUUAGCAGUUUUUAAUAGCCAACUAUAGAGUCAAUUUAAAAUUUGUCUAGGUGGUGAGUUUCUAUGGUUUUGUAAUUGGGGUGAAAGGUAGCAAAUACUAAUCUUGUCUAAAGAGCAUUUGUGUAAGAUUACUUGUGAGUAUAGUGGGGCAGCAUAUAUUAGUAUUUUUAUGAAAUAAGCAGAAAAAGGGAUCCCUUUCUAUUGUCAGCAAUAAAAAGAAUUUUCAAAAAUGUAAACACCAAGCGUUCUAGUUGUAUUGUUAUUUGCAAAGAUCUUUUCAAUGUAUUUGUAGAUCCCAACAUACCUUGAUGCAUGAUCAAUUAGUCUGAAGAAUGUUGAGGAUUAUGUCAUUUUGAGCUGUUUAUCAGGUAGUUUGAGGUUAGAUUUGUUUUUUGGAGUAUUAGCUUGGAAUCUGAGUGCUUGCCUAAUUUGGAGAUUGGUGUGUGAUACUUCAAUAGCCUUUUUUUGUGGACUCCCUUUUGACAUUUUGUAAUUAUUGUUCUUAUUAAUACUAAUUUCUCUGUUUCCUAUAAAAAAUAAAUAAAUAAUGAAGGAUAGGUUUUUAUAUGGUAAGGAAUGAAUAAAUAUUAUAAGCAUUUAUUGGAAAAUAAAACUAUGCAGCUUAUUUAGUUGUUUUCCUAUUUAGUGAUAAAUUAAAAUUUUUGGCUUAAUUAUAUUCGGAUAUAUAAACACCAAGUUUUCAGUGUUAAGAUGGAAAACCAACGUCUUUAAAAUUUAUGAAUUGUUAAUACUGAAUCUUUUUUCAGUUUCAGUUAAAAAACAAAAAGGCCCUUCUUUUUUCUAUCUUCAAAUUUUGUGUGAUAGAAGUAUACUGUUGGGCCUUUCUUAUCAACUUUAGCUUUUGGGAUUAUUGUUGGUUUAACUUUAGAAUUAUUUGACCCAGAGAUUUUAUGUUCCAUUAAAUAAUAACACUCAAUACACUGGAUUUAGUUCAUGUUUAUUAAAUUUGGAUUUUUAUGUGAGACGGUACAAGUAUUGGGGAUUAGUGGUCUCUCAACAUUAUGAUCGAAAACCAGCCCUCACUGCCAAUUUGUAUUUUAAGCCCAAUAUUCAGUCCUUGAUCACUAUCAAACUUCCAUAAUCAUUUCUUCUUCAUAUUCUUAUAAAUCAGCCUCAAACUCUAAAGAAAAACCUAAGCCAUUCUCUGUAAGGGGUAAGCGUCUGUUCUUGUUCGGAUGAAGGUGCCAAGUUUUAUUUUGCUCUUUAACGUUAACAAGUCAAUUCCCCAUGAUGUGUUAGGUGAUUUGUUUGUUUCAUGCUGUUUAUUUCCUCGUCUUUUUUUUCUUCUAUCUACUGUUCCUUUAUGAAUUUGCCUCUAGGCAUUUUUGCAGUUGCUUACUAUGAAAUACAAUGGGCUUAUGCUAUAUUUUGUAAAAAUAACUAUGUAAUUCAAUCUCCAAAUUAGUUAAUCUUCUUAGUUGGCUUUGUCUUUGACUGUUUUUUAUAUCAAUUAAUUUGUUUCGUUGUGUACAGGUUAAUUUCUAUUGUUGGAGCCAUGAGUCUGCUGAACACAUUUUUCCUAACAGAGGUUUGGGAUAUGGACUUGCCCAAUUUUUGUCUGUUUUGUUUCUAGGUUAUUAUGUAAAAAUUUUAUAAUGGUUUGCUUUGCUUUGGGUUAUGAUGUAAAAACUUUGUAGUGGUUUGCCUCAAAUGUUUCUGUUAUUAUGUCUUUGGUCUUAUCCUAAGAUACGCUAUAUUCUUAUUCCUCAAUUUUUACCCCUGGAUUGUUUAAUGAGUUUCUAAUUUUGGAUGUAUACUAAUAAAUCUCCAUUUAUCUUUCUUAAUCCUUAGGAUUUUUUUUUUAUUUUUUUUAUUCUUCUUAAGUUGAGUUGUGUAUAGAUCUGUAGGAAAAUCCACUCAAAUUCAAUUCUUAGCAGAUAAAUAUUCCUACCUAUUACAAUUAGCUUGCACUAAGAGAGCUAUGUAUUGUUUUUGCCCCAUUCUUUGUUAGUCUCUUUGAACACUGAAAUUGGCCUGAUUGUUUUUUCUCCCAAAAAUUCAAGAAUUAUUUUUUGUGGUAUACUAAUUGAUUUUAUGUACUUGUAGGUGGGAAAAGAAAAAUGAAGCCGCUUGUGGAUGUUCAAUGACAUUAUGUGCUUCUUUUUGUUGGUUAAUAUUUGUUGAAUCUUAACAUAGUACUUGGUUGUUAAGAGCUUGUCCAAGACUUAAUUUAGUAUUUAUAUUUUUCUUUUCCAAACAAUGAUGUAGUUGAAUGAUAUGAAUUUGAGUGAUGUAUUUGAGAUGUCUCUUAUGCAAUUGUGUUGCGAGAUUUUGUAUAUUUAAUAUAUUUUGAGUUUUCUUUCAGUUGUAAAACAAAUAGGAAAAUAUAAUUAAAAUCAAAGUAUACUAUUAACCAAAAGAAUCAUAACAUCACUAAAUACUGACACUAAAUGUUUAAAAUAACAGUAAUAAUUUUUUAUGUUAUUGAGUCAGUGUGCUCUUGAUACUGUAGUCUCAUAAAUUACUGACAUAUAAAUAGUAUCAUUAAAUACUAACGCUAUCGUGUCAUUAUUUUAGUGAUACCAUAAUGACAUGAAUUACUGACACAAAAAUCGCUGACACUAAAAAUUAGUGUCAGUGUGUUCUGUCUGGAGAAUUAUUGACACAAUUAAUAAGUGUCAGGAAAAGUAAUUACUGACACUAAUUUAGCGUCAGUAAAGCCCAUUUUUCUAGUAGUGACUAUUUCAGUAUGUCUCUCUCUCUCUCUCUCUCUCUCUCUCUCUCUCUCUCUCUCUCUCUCUCUCUCUCUCUCUCUCUAUAUAUAUAUAUAUAUAUAUAUAUAUAUAUAUAUAUAUAUAUAUAUAUAUAUAUAUAUAUAUAAUCAGCUUCAGGUCUGGAAUUUAAAUUUGUAAAGAGUCUACAAUAUCGUAAAUUGCAUUCAUCACUGUUUUACAAUGGUCUAAAUUUUAUUAUAAAUGACUGUCAAAAAAUUAAUACAUGGUUAUCAUUUAUGAUUAUAAUUAGAACAUUAAAAUUCAAGUCGACUCAUUUGUCUUUACAUUGAUGUAUUCUUUGCGAUUAUACUUAGAAUGUUAAACAAUUAAGUUGAAACGACCCGCCCCAAAUCUCCAGGACAAGUCUAUCUAAUCUCGCCUAACCGAAUUAAUAAUAGUUCUAAUAUCUAAGAAUUCUACCAAAACUUCGGCAGAGUCUCUUAUAUAAUUAUUACAUCCCCAAACUUGUAAUUUAUAAAAUUAACACUCCAAAAAAUAAUACAAUAUUUAAUCAACCUCUACAACCAACUUCCUCAAUUUAAACACCAGUAUCCUUCAAACAUAUAAUGUCAAGAAUACAAUAAUUUAUCCUUAAUCGCAAAUAAGUAAUAAAUUAUACAAUUCAAAAUAUCCCAACAAAGCAUCUAUGAUUUUUAACACCAUCAUGUGGCUAUAGUUUCAAAUCUAACUAUCGUUGUUGGAUCGACUGAUGUACCUGCAAAUCUCCUAGGGAGGGGGGGAAAUAUAAUAAAAAUAUGGUGAGUAUAAAACUCAGUGAGCUCAGUGAGUGGUGGGGGUGGGCAAAAUCGGGUUCGGGUCAACGCGAUCGGGUUUCGGGUUGUUCGGGUUAGACAAGAACCAAUUCGAACAUAACCCGAAUUAUUGACCCAACCCGAACCGACCCGAACUGGAUCGGGUUGGAUUUAAAACGGGUUGGAUUGAGUUCGGGUCAAUUCGGGUUAGUUCGGGUCAGCGUGUGUGUGUGCUGUGCAGCUCGUGUGUGUUCUGUUCUGUUCUGUCAUUCUGCAUUUCUGUGUGCGUGCUGUGCAAGUGUGCAGCUUGUGACUUGUGUUGUGUGUGUGCAACAGCGUAUGUGUGUGUGGGUGCGGCUGUGUGCUUUGCAGCUUCUAACAAGUUGUGUGUGUGUGUUGUGCAGCAGCCAAGCAGCGUGUGUGUGUGUGUGUGUACAGUGUUAGCUUAGCUUAGGUUUUUUUUUUUUUUUUGAGAACCCGAUCGGGUAUUCGGAUCGGGUCGGGUUUGACCCAAACCGAUCACAACCCGAUCGGGUUUGUAAAUUUCAAACCGCUCGGGUUUCGAUCCCGACCCGAUCCGACCCGAACCCGAAAUUUAUCGGGUCGGGUCGGGUCGGAUCGGGUAAAAUGCCCACCCCUAGUGAGUGGAUAGUAGUUUAGGAAAAAUAAUUUAUUUAAAAUGAUUUAAUCUUUUCUAAAUCAAUUUCAUCAAAAUAUCAUAAGAACUUACAUAAACUUAUUUAAUUCAAAUCAUGCACUGAAAUAACAAUAUUACAUAAAUCUGCAUAAAAUCAAUGAAAUCAUAAUACUUAUUGUUAGCCUAUAUGGCUAUAAAUAUUGAUUUUGAUGAUAACAAACCACAUGUGUUAGUUAAACAAAGAUUUAUAAAUUGUGCUUUUAUAAUAAGAAAAUGAUUUUAUGGAAUUAAAGUGUUUUGGACCAAAAUAAAAGUAUUUUAUAAUCUUUGAUAUUGUUUUGAAUUUCGGAUUUGGACCUAUUUAAAUAUUUUUGGGCCAUUCUAUAAUUUCACAUAGUUUGGGCGAUAUUCUAAUUUCAAAAAUUUUUGGGAUUGACAAAGUAUUAUUUAGAAAUUCUAAAAUUGGACCUAUUUGAACACUUUCAUAACAUUUUAGGCCAUAAUAUAAUUUUAUAAAGUUUUGGGGUCGAAUUAUAAUUUUGGAAAACAUUUCACUGUAGCAAGCAGAUAUCUGGAUCCUAACAAAUGGUAGACCGGAUUUGGGCAGAAAGCUUCUGGAACUUAAACGGCUAUCCGGAUUUCACAAGCGGUAUACCAGAUGUUCAAAAAUUUAAAUUUUGGCUAUAACGGUAACAUUACGCGGCUAACCGGAUGUCCAUAAAUGGUAAGUUAGUUAUCACCUAAAUGUGCAUAACGGCUAGUUUUUGAGUUCAAACUAUAUAAACCCAAAUCCAAUUCAUUUUCAAGCUCUUUUGCAAACAAAAUCAAAAAGCACACAACAUUCAUUGAGCUCUCAUUUCGCAAAUCAUAAAACCUUGAAUCAUAUUUUGUUCUUCAAUUUGUAUAUCUACUCUUUAAGAGAGUUUUUAUUGUAAUCUUCAAUUCCUCAUCUUAAUUGUGAGUGUUUAAGUGUGUGAGACACUUGAGUGAAGAGAUUGAGAGAUAAUCUCUUUGUUGUAAAGGUUCAUUGACACCUUAAAGUCAAUUGUAACCAUUUGAAGCCUUAGAAGGCUUGCAUAGUGAAAUCAUCAAGCUUGGAUUGCUUGGAGGCGUGGACGUAGCCGGGGAUUGUCGAACCACGUAAAAAUUCGUGUGUUUGUUUCUUUUCUCCCUUACUCAUUUGUUAUUGUACUUUUAUUGAACUUAUUGCUUUCGAAUUUAUUAAGGCGUUAGAUUGGAUUGUUGUGUGGUUUUGUUAGGAUAAUUUUUAAAAAUACCAAUUCACCCCCCUCUUGGGUUGCACACUUGUAUUUCACCUAUAAUAUCAAAUACUGAAUACCAAAAACUAUCACCAAACAAGUACCCGGGGGAAUAAUCUCAUCAUAUUCGGACCUCGACGGACGGGCAAUCAGGGAACCAUCAUACCCCGGAGCUACAACGGAUAGACGGGGAAAUGUCAUCUCAUAUCUCAUGUAUCUCAACAUCUGUAUCUUUGUAAUCAUCAUACUGCAUGCAUAAGCCUCCAAAAGGAAAAAGCGCCCAAACACACAGCCAAAAGCCUCUAUGUGUGUUCAGACGGGCCUCAAAGACCUCUCAUCUCAUAUCAUCUGUAUCAUUGUGUUCAUCUUAUAUUAUCUGUAUCUCUGUGUCUUAAGGGGAAUGAUAUUGUCCAAUGAUUUUCCAAACAACCUUUUAUAAACAUGUACAUAAACAUAUAAUCACAUCUGAAAUCUCAUUUCCUUUUAUUCAACAUAUCUCAAAUCCACUCAAUUCUAAUAUCAUGCAUUUACUCAAAAAAAAAAUGAUAAUAGAAUCAUUAAUCAAACUCAUUUUCAAUACUAAUAAAUAUCAGCACGUAAAAUAAAAAUCAAUUUUCUAGAAAAUCAUUAAAUCGAAGCAUCAAAUACUUAUCAUCAAAACAUGUUGUACUGUAUAGUAAAAUCAUAGUAUACUAUGAAAAUAGGUUUUGUAUAUUCCACUCACAGUGACAAUGUCCAGACUCGGGAUCACCAACGUCCGCAGGUUAAUUCUCGCUCGCGGGUCCUCCUAAUUACAUAAACGACAUAAUUAUUAUCCAUAUCAUGAAAUACGACUAACAGUACGAAAUAAAGCUCAAAACCAAACUCCCGGAUACAUAAAAUUUCAAAAUUACCCUUAUGUCCAAAAAUUACCCAAAUGCCCCUGACACCGAAAUUUACCAAAUUACCAUCAGAAUCAUAAUUUAUCGAAUCAUCCUCAAUAUCUUAAAUUACCAAAUUGUCCUUAAUUCGGAUAACAAAAUUAAUCACAAGUUUUGAAUUUACAAAAUUACCUUCGAAGUACAAAAUUACCAAAAUGUCCUUAAUAACUUAAAUUACCGAAUUACCCUCGAAAUCUCAAAUUACUUCUCUGUCCUAAUCACAAAUUACCAAAUUAUCCACCAUUUUCAUAAAUUACAAAUUUACCCCAAAGUUUUAUGAAAUUACCGAAUUACCCUUGCCGGUCAACGGUGACCUGACUUCAGUCAAUGAUGACGGGAAGCUCAGGUCUAAUAGUUCAGACCUCGGUGAAUCCAACGAUGCUGGCGGUGACCUCCCACGCGCGGCGAUGGUGGCAGAUCGAAGCUCCAAAAUUCGUGAGUUUCCCGGUGUUCGUUCGCGGCCAAGACAGCAUCCCCGGUGAUCGUGGUCAGUUGGAAAGUGAUAAGUGUGAGUUGAGAAACAAGAUCCAGGCAGUGGCGUGGCUAAAAAUCCGACGGGAUCGACGGCGACAGAAACGGGUUGAGUCGCGGCUUUUCGAGCUUCAAACGGCGGCGUUUCGGUCGGCUUUUCUUUGAUUUGUUAUUUUGAGUUGUAUGAAAUAUAGCUUUACUUAUGUUUUUUUUUAUCAUUAAUAGGAAUUUUCUUGUUAAAACUAUAUGAAUUGAUUGAAACUUCAAAUUCAUACUACAACCAUGAUGAUUUAAUAAAACAUUCAAACUAAAUCCACAUAUUCCAUGAGUAAGAACCCUGAGAGCACAUUUAUUCAAGUUUAUGCUUUAAGUAAAAUAAAAGUAGAAAUGAGAAUUUUAAAGAAGAAAUUUAGUUAUAAAUAAUUGUCAAAUAAUUAAUUGUUCAGCAUUUAUUUUAUAGGUCCCACUGUUGGGACUCCAUGUGAUCUGCUAACUGGCAGGCCUUUUGUGGUUAGGCGAACCACAGUAUGCCUGCCCCAUAUAAGUUCCUCUCUUCUCAUAGAUAUAACUAGUGCUAUGUCAUGUCCAACAAGGGCUCUUCGAAACUUUUUAUGUGAAUUUUAAACAUUACCCCAUUACGCUUUUGAAACACCAAAACUACCUCAAAUUUUAAAAAUAUAAAAAAAAAUACAUAUUAAAAGAAUGUUUUAUGUCUUUAGCUUAACAGUUAGCACACGUAUUGUACUCUUGACAUUUUUCUUCUGUAAAUCUUCACUUCUUUUUUCUUUGAUUCUUCACACUCCACUGCUCUUUUAUCUCUAAAAAAUUAAAUUGUCCGUAGAAGCUUACUAUUUAAUUUACUGAUCUAAUUAUUUAGCUCUAAAUAUUUAGAUACGUUUUCUUAAUUAAUUAUCUCUUCUUUAAUUUUUUUGGUAAUUUCUCUUAGAUGAAAGAAUUAAGGUUAUGUCCUAGGAAAAUAUUAACUCUCAUAUUAUAGUGUUGAUAAUGAGGUUAUCCUUGAAUUUUUAACACAUGAAAACACAUCGAGGUAACUAUAAAUUCAUUGAAGGAAAUAUUUUAAUAAAUUUAGAUUUUGGUACAUAUUAUUUGUUGAAUUUUUUUUCUUUCCAAAUUGAACGUAGCCCUUAUGAUAUUCAGUUCGUGAUGGUGCCACUAAAUGUAAAGUGUCGAACUAGAUCAUAUUUCUCCCUUAUGCAAACUCCAUCGUUUAUUUAUAUUUCAAUUUUGUGGCCUAUUGUCGAGUUUUCUAGUUUCACAGAGGGCAUCUUGGAUUUCUCUACGUGGUCCAUAGUCUCUAGUCCAAAUGAAGAAAUCGAAUUCACCAUGUACAUUAGUGUUUUUUUUCUUUUUUCUUUUUGGGCGGGGGGGGAAUUUUUUUAUUGGCACAGGAAGAAAGCUCUUCGGCACUACUCGGAAGAAGAAUAUGAGCAACACAUGGUCCAAUUCGCAUUGUAUGGAAGUAAAACCGAAGCAUUAGACCAAAAGCAAACCUUAUUCAUAUUUUUAGUUACUGAUAACAAUUUCUUUCCCCUCUUAUUAUCAUCUUAAUUAAGAAAUAUAGUAAUUCGUUAACUUUUUGGGAAAUUAAAAAGGAUGGCAAUAUACAAUAUUCUUGUGUUGAUGACCUUAAAAGCUAAUUCCCUUGAAACAGGAAAACUGGUAUCGUUUUUCAAAGCACAUAAAUGAUAUAUCCCAGCUUUCAAUGUGAUCGAAAGAUUUCAUAGCCACACUCGAAAUUAAUAAAUGAUCCCUAAGAAUUCGUUAACUUCAAGAGUUUAUAGAACAUUAAUUGAUCCAAAUCCAAUACAAACUGCUUACUAGUACAGCUGCAAGAGAGCCAUUUUUUUUCAGUAGGCAUAUUAAACAACUGCAGCAGUCACUAGAAAGCUAGUAUAGACCAAUUGUUCAUCUACCAACCAAUUGUGAAAUUGUUACAUCAUUACUUGAACAUAUUUCCCAUCCAAUCGUGGCUUUAUUUUGUUCGUCUUCAUAAGCUUUGUUUAAGAAAUCGGAGUCCAUUCGAUGAGUCUAUCAGCAUUCUUUAACUAAUUAUUAGAUUAAAUGUAUAAAUUUAAAACUAGUAAAAGUUUAGACUAUGAAAGAACCUUGAUUCAUUCAAGAAAUAAUUAAAAUUUUAAUCCUUUUCAAACUGGUUAAUAUUAACCUUAUCAUUAUGCGAAAACACAAUUUAAAAGAAAAAUAAAAUAAAAUAAAAAUCUCACAAAGUUGGUGUGUGGAAUAGUCAAUACGUUGUCCUUGAUUUUUUAUUUUUUAUUUUUUACAAACCCUUAAAGAGUCUAUAGAUGUAGUUAGUGAUAUUACAUUACAUUAAUUGAUCCAAAUCCAAUACAAACUGCUUACCAGUACAGCCUCAAGAGAGUCAUUUAUUAUUCAAUUGGCAAAUUAAACAACUGCAGUAGUCACUAGCAGCUUGCCAAGAGCUAUAGCGUAGAUCAAUUGUUCAUCUACCAACCAAUUGUGAAAUUGUUACAUCAUUACUUGAACAAAUUUCCAAUCCAAUCGUGGCUUUCCUUUGUUCAUCUUCGUAAGCUUGCUUUGAGAAAGUUGCAGGCUUCUUUGGAGUCAUUAUAUCAGCCGUGCUCUCAUUUUCGAGCAUCGAAGAAACUUCCAGCAUAGAAGGUCUAUCGUCUGGGUUCUCCUGAACACACAACAGAGCUAUUUGCAGACAUGUUAGCAAUUUCCACGAGGAAUGCGUAUCAUCUAGUGAUGUAUCCAUUAACCCCAUGCCUUUCCCAUCUUUCCACAGCUCAUAAGCCUGUAAAUAUCGAAUAUGUUAUUGAGUUACAUUCAAUUAAUUAGCACUAUAAAGUUUUGAUCCAGUGUGCAUUAUAAAGGGGGUUAUGAAGAAACUUACAUACUGUACAAGGCUUAAAUUUUCAUUCUGGCCAGAUUGAACGAACAAUCUUCUUCCACUUAUAAUUUGCAAAAGUAAAACCCCAAAACUGUAGACAUCAGAUUUGGUGGAGUAGAUGCCUCUCGUCACAUACUCAGGAGGGAUAUAGCCACUGUUGUACCAAGUACUUACAAAUAUCAGUUAAAUUGUUUGACCUAAAAGGUUAAGCUGAUUGGUAAAGGCUCAACAAUAGUAUUAAAGACAAGUCGAAAAAUAGACGUAUAUACACUUACUGUGUUCCAACAAUUCGACUGGUGUUUGCUUCAAGGUCGUCUUUCACAAAAAUUCUAGCUAAGCCAAAAUCUGAUAUUUUAGGCUUCAUAUUUUCAUCCAAUAAAACAUUACUAGCUUUCAAGUCUCGAUGAAUAAUUGUUAAUCUAGAAUAUUCUUGAAGAUAAAGAAGCCCUUGAGUUAUUCCUUGAAUGAUAUGAAUGCGUUUUUUCCAAUCCAAAAUAAACCUUCGGAUGGGAUCUACAUCAAAUAUAAGUAUAGUUGGACGGUCAGUAGCACUAGCAUUUGGAGAUGAGAAAGCAAAUGGAGGCACAUAAAUUAAGAAUUAAGCAGAAGCACAUACCAAAAAGGAAAUAGUCUAAGCUUUGUUUUGGCAUGUACUCGUAGAUCAGCAUUUGUUCUUCUCUGUCAAUGCAAAAACCUAAAACCUUAAUAAGAUUUACAUGUUGGAGUUUUGCAGUAAGCAUAACCUCAUUCUUGAACUCCUCAAAUCCUUGUUUGGAUGUCUUUGAGAGUUUCUUCACUGCUAUUACCUGUCCAUCAGGUAAUACACCCUGCAAACACCCCCAAAACAUUAAAAAGGAAAAAAAAAUGCAAUGUUCAUAUACAUAUGUGUGUGUGUGUAUUUCGCUAAUUAAUUAAUAAGAUGAGAGAUAGCCAAGCUAUCGAUAUAUAACCUUGUAAACAGGGCCAUAUCCACCCUCCCCGAGCUUAUUUUCAAUUGAAAAUCUAUCCGUGGCCACCUCAAUAUCAGCCAAGCUAUAUUCUCUAAGAUCAGGAUCAUUGCUGUUAAAAUCUCCAGCAUGUGCUUGACUGUUUGCUCCGUCCUUUGAUGACUUGGCUGAGUCAAUUACUAUUCCAAUUAAUAUCAACCAAGGAAAAAAAAGAAAAAGAAAAAGAAAAAAGCUAAUUUAAGUAAAUUGCCCACUUCUUCAGCUGUGCUAAAUAGAAUAGAAGUAAAAAUAAUCCUAAACCCCUGUAGAAGAAGUUACCUUUUAAUUUGAGGUUUUUCAUCCAGCAGUAGUAAUACAGCCAAAAACCUAGUAGAAGAAUACAAGCUGCAGUGGUAGUCAAAACAACUACCCAUAACAGUCGCUUAUUUUGACCACUCUUGUCAUCCUCUUCAGCUGAAAAGUCAAUCACUUUGCGUUGGUUAACCAUUGAUGCUGAAAUAAAGAUCUUAAUUCAAGUCAUUAUCCAGAAAAGUGAUCAACGGAUUGCAGUGAGUGCGGAAUUCCAUUUGCUUACCUGCAGCUUGAGAAAGCAUCCAAUCAUGAUCAUAGGAAACUAGCCACACAUGGUAUCCGCGUAGCUUCUUCUCCUUGGCAUAUGCAACCUUCACUCUAAUGGCCUCCACAUCAUCAAAACCAAACCAAAUCUUCCCAAUCGAGCAGUAGUUCACCACAUAAGUUGAAUUGUAAAUAACUUGGACAUUAGGACCAUAUCUCUUGAUGUGAUUCUUGAUUUCCCUAUAACUCACAAGACCAUCUUCACUCAAAGCUGGUCCCGUUGCUGCUGCACCAAUACCAUUGUCCUCAGGUUUCACAAGCGUCCAUGCAUAGCCAUAGAAAGGCAAACAUAAAACCAAUUUAUCAGCCGAUAACCCUUCGUCAAUCCAUUCCGUGAUUCCGUAUUCAGUAUUAGAGACACUAUUUGGAUCAUACAGAGCCGCAUGAGCACCAGUAAAAUUUGUCCACGUAGGGACUGAGUAAUCAGUAGUGAAAACAUGGACCCAAUUCAAGUAUUGUCUUAUCGAGUCGACUGGAUAAGCUGCUGCUGGUGAGUAUGGUGAAUAUGCAACCGUUGCCGUCAAAAUCAACUGUGAUUGGCUCGAGUUAUUUCUUGCUUCUAAAGCUACGGCAGCUCGCCAUUCUUUAAAGAGAAUGCCAAUAUUGUACUUAUCCCAGCUUGUGUUUGCAAAAUACCAAGACAGAUCUAAGCCUUGAAAGCCAUAGAGCCUUGCUAUUUUUAUUGAGGAGUCAAUAAAGGAUUUCCUGGAAGAAGGAUUGCCCGCCAUGGAAGAAUAAGUUGAAUAGUUUGGAUAAUUUCCUGCUCCGAUGGAAAGAAGUGUAGUGAUUGAUGGGUUCUUUAUUUUGACUGUGUCUGUGAAGUUGGAGAAUUGUUUUUCAUCCGAAGGUAAUAAAGAAAGCUCAUAGGAAGUUGAGUUGACACCAGCAAAACCACACAUCAGGUGAGUGAAGAGAGCAGAAUUUACAUCUGAAACUGGGAACCCAUCGCGUGAAUCCCAGUAACCAGCUCUGAUUAAAGUUUGUGCUCUUGCAGGAAGCGAUUCUGAAAAUAUAAAAAUGUGGAGGACAAGAAUGAUAAUUUUGGAUGCCAUUGUGGGAACCUGGCUGCUUGAGGCAUACCUAGUAUGUGAUUAUAUAUUUGUACACACACACACAAAAUGUAAUGGAGAAAUUAUCCUAUACCGAUUGAGAUUAGUUAUUGCACUAAUAAUGCAAACUUGAGUCAACUUUCAACUUAUGAGCUUAGUCCAUAAGUUUUUAUACGAUAUCAAAUUCAAGUUAUGAAUGAGGGACCCUAUAAUACCUUCCAACCUAACUUAAUAAUUAAUCUUAGCCAAUGUGACAUACUUGUUCUAUCACUUUAUCACGUCCAAGUCGAUCUUUUAGCUUUGUCUCUUUUUCAUGAUAAUAAGUGAUAAGAUUGAAGUUCUUAAAUUAAGCUAUGACUUUUUACCUCCGCUUAGCUUGACUUCUGAAGUUGGAGACUCGUUCUUUUGUAUUGUCUUUGUUGGUAUUUAAAUGAACUCGGAGUCCUCGACGAGUUUCUGAAGCGAAGUCAUUAUUCCUCUAUGACUCCAUCCAUGCAAUUGGAAGGCAAAAUCUUGUGAAAAUAUUUUCUAAGUUGAUUCAGUCCAUGAUCAACGUGCACAAAACGCAAAAUCUUGCGAAAAUCAAACCCGUCCUCACUCAUGACCUCACUUUAUUAAAUUACAGCUUGUCAUUGAAUUGAGUGUUGCCUUAAUUAAGCCAUCAAAUUAAUAAAGUGAUGGUCAUUAAGAAAUACACUUAGUUACUUCCUGAUGGUAAGAUUCAAUAAUAUUCUAAUUUAAAAAAAAAAAAAAAGAUCCAUAUACCUUUUUCUUGUGUAAUUUAAUUUUCAGUCCAGUCCACCCUCCCAUUUUAUCAUAAAAGUGUAUACAAACAUACGUUUUACUCAAUGUUUACUUAGAAACAAAUGGCGCGCGUACGAUUGCCGAUCUAGUACCACUCUCGUAUGCUUGGUGGGAUUCGGCUUCACCAAAUUUGUAGCAUAUAUUUUACUUUAAUGAGAAAAUCAAAUAAUUAUUGAACAAAUAAUUUUUUUUUCAAUAUACUUUCUUAAAAUGUAUGGAGUUGGUAAAGUGCAAAUUCAUUUUUUAGCCCUUUGACUCCUCCAAAAUCAAAACUAAAAUUAAUGGUCAGUUAAAUAAUGUUACUUGAAAAUCAUUUCCUAGCUAGAAUUUGUUUAAUUCUAUUAAUUUACAAUCGUUUUUCAUUUUACUUAAUUAAUUAAAGUGAAUUUAUUAUGUAUACAUUCUACAUACAUAAAGUUUUAAUAUUCAGUGUUGAAUUGAAUUGUACUAAAUUUUUUAUAAUUUUUUGUCAGACCUGCGUUUUUAACAGUUUAAUAGUAAUAUUGAUAGCACAUAAUAUACAGGAUUAAGAGAGAUCGAUUUCGACUGCUACAAGAUUUUUAGGAUUGCAUGCACAAGGGUUUAAAAACAAAGUGUACACUUAAUUACACCAAACGAGGGUGCAUUUUUAUGAUGAAAUAAAAACUACGUGCAGGGUUGUAAAAGUGGCUCCAUAAUUAGCGUACAUUAACAUUCAUCUAGCUACCACUUCCGAAAAUGAUACAUCAUAAGCCGAACAUUUUUCCAAUUUUGUUGUAGAUAAUAGUUCAAUCCCAAUUUCAUCAACUUGUUUUGAGAAAGCAGGCUUCUUGGGAGUAUUUGUAUUUGUGGUUUCAUUCUUGAGCAUUGAGGAAACUUCCAGCAUUGAAGGUCUAUCGUUUGGAUUCUCCUGGACACACAACAAAGCUAUUUCCACACAUCUCAUUAAUUUACAAGGGGAAUUUCUAUCAUCUAGGAAUGAAUCCACAAACUCCACGCCUUUGCCAACUUUCCACAACUCAUAUGCCUGAAAUUAUCAAGUACCAUCUUGUUACAUAAUUUAUACUUCUUAAUUAAGUGCGCAUAUGUGUACUCAGGGUUACUAUAGCCGAAGAAACUUACGUGCUCUAGAAUGCUUAAAUUUUCAUUGAUGCCACAUAACACUGAAAGCCUCUUUCCACUUAUGAUUUGUAGAAGUAAAACUCCGAAACUAAAAACGUCUGAUUUGGUAGAGUAUACACCUUGUCUGGCGUACUCAGGAGGAAUACAGCCUCUGCGUUCAAAAUAACCAAGUAUAUAUGAGUAAGGGAUUUUGCAAUUUAAUAAAUUUGUAAAACCCAUUUUAAAUUGUGGUAAAAGUCCAUUCUGCAUUUUAUUAAAGUGCUGAAUUCCUUAUUCGAAACCCAAUAUAUGUAUAACAAACAGAAGCUUGAGUAAAGGAUAUCAUUUAGAUGUAAUAUACUUACAUUGUUCCCACAACUUGUUCUGUAUUCGCUUCGAGACUCUCUUUUGCAAAAAUCCUAGCCAAACCAAAAUCUGAAAUUUUAGGUUUCAUACCUUCACCUAACAAAAUAUUACUGGCUUUCAAGUCUCGAUGAAUAAUAGUCAGUCUUGAAUAUUCCUGGAGGUAUAAAAGCCCUUGAGUUAUCCCUUCAAUGAUAUGAACACGUUUUUUCCAAUCCAAAAUAAGUCUUCUGAUGGGAUCUACAACAAAUAUAUAGUUUUGGACAAUAAGUGAUAUGCAAAUGAAUUUUAUACACAAUUAAUAUUAACUUGAUUUCAGAACAAACCAAAAAGGUAGCAAUCCAAGCUUUUGUAUGGCAUGUAUUCGUAGACCAGCAUCUGUUCCUCACUGUCAAUGCAAAAACCUAAAACUCUAAUAAGAUUUACAUGUUGGAGUUUUGCAGUAAGCAUAACCUCAUUCUUAAACUCCUCAAAUCCCUGUGCGGAUGAUUUCGAAAGUUUCUUCACUGCUAUCACCCCUCCACAGGGUAAUACACCCUGCAACCCAAAAAAAAAAACCACGUUCAUAUAAAGCUUUCACUAAUUAGAGAAGCUGAGAAAUGUUAGCCAAACAAUAUGCUACCCCCCAAAGUUGAGGGCACCAUUUUAAGUCCUUUAAGUCCCCAUGGACGCAAAAUGUAAAUCUCCUCUCACAGAAUAUGGAUAUGGGUAGAGGUAUCUUCCUAAAAUAUUAGUCGAAGUAGUUAUAUCCCUCUAGUGUGAGGUUAGAGGUCUCAUCUCUAAUAGGCAUAGAUUUUUAAAUUAUAUGUUUUGGGCCUCUGAAUUCUAUGACGAGUGUACAAAUUCAAACUUCCGAUAGGAUCCAAAUUGCAACAUUGUGGAUUGUAACAAAUUAAAAUAUAGGUAUACACACACACACACACAUAUGUUACCUUGUAAACAGGACCAUAUCCACCCUCCCCAAGCUUAUUUCUAAUUGAAAAUCCCUCGGUGGCCGCCUCAAUAUCAGCCAAACUAUAUACUCUGAGAUUAGGAACAUUUAUGUUAAAGUCUCCAGCUUCUGUUUCAUUAUUUGCUCUCGUGUUUGAUGCUUUAGCAGAAUCCUCUGUUCCUAACAUCAACCAAGAGUAAAUAUUAGAUAAUUAAUUGUAUGUCAGCCUCAGUGAUAUAUAUGUGUGUGUGUGUGUGUGUGUGUGUGUGUGUGUGUGUGUGUUUGUGUUUGUGUGUGUGAAUGAAAUGCAUGCUUAAUGAUAAUUGAUAGCUGAAGCUUGUUACCUUCUAUUAACUUGAGCCUUUUCCUCUGGUUGUAUUUAUAUGCACAACAGCCUAGAAGGAGAGUCAAAGCUGCCGCUGCAGUGGAAAUGAGUGCAAUGGACAGACACCGGUUGUUACUAUGUUCAUCUUUUUCAGCUGAAGCAGAAGUAAUCCUGUCUUUUUGUGCUGGAAAUAUGUAUAGUUCACCAAUUAAUAAUAACAAGCUUGAGAUACCAUAACAAUCAUUAUUAAUCAGAGAGAACAAUUAUUGCAUAUAUAAAUACCUGCAGCUUGAGAAAGCACCCAAUUAUGAUCAUCAAAAGGAACUCGCCACACAUAGUAACCAAGCAAUCUCUUCUCUUUGGCAUAGGCGAUCUUAGCUCUAACAGCCUCCACAUCAUCAAAACCAAACCAAACCGUCCCAGUGGAGAAGUAAUUCACCACAUAAGUUGAAUUGUACAUAACUUGAACAUUAGGAGCAUAGUUCUUGAUGUGAUUCUUGAUAGUCCUAUAGGUCACAAGGCCAUCAUUAGUCAAAGCUGGUCCUGCUGCUGCUGCUCCAAUACCAUUGUCUUCAGGUUUCACAAGCCUCCAUGCAUAGCCAUAGAAAGGCAAAGACAUAGCCAACUUAUCAGCCGAUAGCCCUCUCUCAAUCCAUGCCUUUAAAACCUGAUCGGUACUUUUAGCAAAGCCGCCGCUACUUGAGCCAUGGAGAGCCGCAGGUGGCGCAGUGAAGUUUGUUGACAAAGGCUUGUAGUAGUUAGCAGUAACUGCAUGAACCCAAUUCAAGUUUCGUUGCAUCGAAUUCAAAAGAUAUGAAUUCGCUGGUGGUGAAUAACGAAAUCUUGCGGUCAAAAUCAGCGGGGAUUGCUGGCGACUAGAGUUUAUUGCCUCUAAUUUUGUAGCAGCAAUUCGCCACUCGUCAAAAAGUAAACCAAUAUUGAACAUAUCGGUGCUUGUGUUGGGAGCUGUCCAAGCAAAAUCUAGGCCCUGAAAGCCAUAAAGCCUAGCUAUUCUUAUUGAAGAGUCGAUGAAAGAUUUUCUGUGAGAAGAAUUUCUCACCAUUGAAGAAUAUAUAGAAUAGUUUGUAUGUCUUCCUUCUCCAAUGGAGAGAAGCAUAGUGAUUGAUAGGUUCUGUUUCUUCACAGUGUCUGCGAAUUUGGCGAUUUGAUUUUCAUCGGAUGGUAAUGAUAAAGAUAGCUGGUAAGUGGUAGAAUUGAUAUCAGCAGAAGAGCAAAUAAGGUGAGUGAAGAGAUCAUAAUUUAUGCCCGAAAUGGUGGACACUUCGCUUAGAUUCAAGUAACCGACCCUAAUCCACGGUUUUGCUUUCGCUGGAUGAAGUUCUGAAUAGAGCAACGUGUGCAAGAUGAUGCUGAUAAUUAUGGAUGCCAUUUAAGACUUUGUUAGGAAUGGAAAUGAAUGCACACUAAGAGAAAUUAAAUAAACACUAGUUUCACAGUUCAUUUAGGUUCUUAUUAAACUAUUAACGCAUAGGUUCAUUUCGUUCCAAAAAAAAUCUUAUGUGCUCCUGAUAGGGACACAUACAUUGCAUGUUAAGAUGAUGAUAGGCGAUGCGACCAUUUCCUAAGAACUAAGAUUUUCUUCUAUCGCGUGGCUGACUUUUCAUGAAGAAAAAUGAUGCUUUGGUUGUCAUUUGGUUAAACUGAUGACAAAUUUCGGGUUACAAAUAUCAGUAUUGUUUUAUUAAACAAUAAAAGACAAAAAAUCAAUAUUUAUUAGAGAGAACAAUUAUUGCAUAUAUAAACACCUGCAGCUUGAGAAAGCAUCCAAUAUUGAUCAUAGGAAACUAGCCACACAUGGUAACCACGUAGCUUCUUCUCCUUGGCAUAUGCAACCUUCACUCUAAUGGCCUCCACAUCAUCAAAACCAAACCAAAUCUUCCCAAUCGAGCAGUAAUUCACCACAUAAGUUGAAUUGUAAAUAACUUGGACAUUAGGACCAUAGCUCUUGAUGUGAUUCUUGAUUUCCCUAUAACUCACAAGACCAUUUUCACUCAAAGCUGGUCCCGUUGCUGCUGCACCAAUACCAUUGUCCUCAGGUUUCACAAGCGUCCAUGCAUAGCCAUAGAAAGGCAAACAUAAAACCAAUUUAUCAGCCGAUAACCCUUCCUCAAUCCAUUUCGUGAUUCCGUAUUCAGUAUUAGAGACACUAUUUGGAUCAUACAGAGCCGCAUGAGCACCAGUAAAAUUUGUCCACGUAGGGACUGAGUAAUCAGUAGUGAAAACAUGGACCCAAUUCAAGUACUGUCUUAUCGAGUCGACUGGAUAAGCUGCUGCUGUUGAGAAUGGUGAAUAUGCAACCGUUGCCGUCAAAAUCAACUGUGAUUGGCUCGAGUUAUUUCUUGCUUCUAAAGCUACGGCAGCUCGUCAUUCUUUAAAGAGAAUGCCAAUAUUGUACUUAUCCCAGCUUGUGUUUGCAAAAUACCAAGACAGAUCUAAGCCUUGAAAGCCAUAGAGCCUUGCUAUUUUUAUUGAGGAGUCAAUAAAGGAUUUCCUGGAAGAAGGAUUGCCCGCCAUGGAAGAAUAAGUUGAAUAGUUUGGAUAAUUUCCUGCUCCGAUGGAAAGAAGUGUAGUGAUUGAUGGGUUCUUUAUUUUGACUGUGUCUGUGAAGUUGGAGAAUUGUUUUUCAUCCGAAGGUAAUAAAGAAAGCUCAUAGGAAGUUGAGUUGACACCAGCAAAACCACACAUAAGGUGAGUGAAGAGAGCAGAAUUUACAUCUGAAACAGGGAACCCAUCGCCUGAAUCCCAAUAACCAGCUCUGAUUAAAGUUUGUGCUCUUGCAGGAAGCGAUUCUGAAAAUAUAAAAAUGUGGAGGACAAGAAUGAUAAUUUUGGAUGCCAUUGUGGGAACCUGGCUGCUUGAGGCAUACCUAGUAUGUGAUUAUAUAUUUGUACACACACACAAAAUGUAAUGGAGAAAUUAUCCUAUACCGAUUGAGAUUAGUUAUUGCACUAAUAAUGCAAACUUGAGUCAACUUUCAACUUAUGAGCUUAGGGUGCGUUUGGCACACUGUAUUGUAUUAUGCUGUAUUGCAUUAUUUUAAUGUUGAUGUAUUGUACUAUACUGUAUUGUAUUAGCAUUGUAUUAUAAUAAUAUUGUGCAAUGUUUUAGCACUACAUUGUACUGUAUUAAUUUUUUUAUAAUUAAUUUAAAUUUUAUAUUUUAUUAUAUUAAUAUUUAUACUCUUAUGAAUUUUAAAUUAAUAUUAUUUAAAUUUGUUCAUAUUUAAAUAUUUAUUAUUAGUUAUAUUAUAUUAUAAAUUUAUUAAUAAAUUAUAAUAUAAAAAUAAAAAUAUAAUAUAAUAUUAUUGAAUAAAAAAUUAUAUAUUUAUUAAUUUAUAUUAAAUUAUAAUUUAAAAAUAAAAUUGUUAUAUAAUAUUAUAUUAAAUUAAAAAGUUAUCUUUAUUUUUUAUUAUUAUUAUAAGCAAAAACAAAAGUUAAAGCAAAAACUAAAUAGAAAAGAAAGAAGAAGGAAAAAAAAAAAGAAAAAGAAACGCAAGCCGCCAAAGAAGGAAAAGAGAAAAAAAAAAAAAAAAAAAAAAAGGUAAGCUAAUGCGGCAACUGCCGCAUUCGCUACAGUGCCCCUAACCCAUGUGAUAUUCUCCCAAACAUGGUACAAGUAUUAACUUAAUGUAAAUAGUAAUUUAAUACCCCUUAAUACUACAACCGAACACACCCUUAGUCAUAAGUUUUUAUACGAUAUCAAAUUCAAGUUAUGAAUGAGGGGCCCUAUAAUACCUUCCAACCUAACUUAAUAAUUAAUCUUAGCCAAUGUGACAUACUUGUUCUAUCACUUUAUCACGUCCAAGUCGAUCUUUUAGCUUUGUCUCUUUUUCAUGAUAAUAAGUGAUAAGAUUGAAGUUCUUAAAUUAAGCUAUGACUUUUUACCUCCGCUUAGCUUGACUUCUGAAGUUGGAGACUCGUUCUUUUGUAUUGUCUUUGUUGGUAUUUAAAUGAACUCGGAGUCCUCGACGAGUUUCUGAAGCGAAGUCAUUAUUCCUCUAUGACUCCAUCCAUGCAAUUGGAAGGCAAAAUCUUGUGAAAAUAUUUUCUAAGUUGAUUCAGUCCAUGAUCAACGUGCAAAAAACGCAAAAUCUUGCGAAAAUCAAACCCGUCCUCACUCAUGACCUCACUUUAUUAAAUUACAGCUUGUCAUUGAAUUGAGUGUUGCCUUAAUUAAGCCAUCAAAUUAAUAAAGUGAUGGUCAUUAAGAAAUACACUUAGUUACUUCCUGAUGGUAAGAUUCAAUAAUAUUCUAAUUAAAAAAAAAAAAAAAAAAAGAUCCAUAUACCUUUUCCUUGUGUAAUUUAAUUUUCAGUCCACUCCACCCUCCCAUUUUAUCAUAAAAGUGUAUACAAACAUACGUUUUACUCAAUGUUUACUUAGAAACAAAUGGCAGACGUACGAUUGCCGAUCUAGUACCACUCUCGUAUACUUGGUGGGAUUCGGCUUCACCAAAUUUGUAGCAUAUAUUUUACUUUAAUGAGAAAAUCAAAUAAUUAUUGAACAAAUAAUUUUUUUUUCAAUAUACUUUCUUAAAAUGUAUGGAGUUGGUAAAGUGCAAAUUCAUUUUUUAGCCCUUUGACUCCUCCAAAAUCCAAACUCAAAUUAAUGGUCAGUUAAAUAAUGUUACUUGAAAAUCAUUUCCUAUCUAGAAUUUGUUUAAUUCUAUUAAUUUACAAGCGUUUUUCAUUUUACUUAAUUAAUUAAAGUGAAUUUAUUAUGUAUACAUUCUACAUAUGUAAAAUUUUAAAAUUCAGUGUUGAAUUGAAUUGUACUAAAUUUUUUAUAAUUUUUUGUGAGACCUGCAUUUUUAACAGCUUAAUAUUAAUAUUGAUAGCACAUAAUAUACAGGAUUAAGAGAGAUUGAUUUCGAGUGCUACAAGAUUUUUAGGAUUGCAUGCACAAGGGUUUAAAAACAAAGUGUGCACUUAAUUACACUAAACGAGGGUGCAUUUUUAUGAUGAAAUAAAAACUAUGUACAGGGUUGUAAAAGUGGCUCCAUAAUUAGUGUACAUUAACAAUCAUCUAGCUACCACUUCCGAAAAUGAUAAAUCACAAGCCGAACAUUUUUCCAAUUGUGUUGUAGAUAAUAGUUCAAUCCCAACUUCAUCAACUUGUUUUGAGAAAGCAGGCUUCUUGGGAGUAUUUGUAUUUGUGGUUUCAUUCUUGAGCAUUGAGGAAACUUCCAGCAUUGAAGGUCUAUCGUUUGGAUUCUCCUGGACACACAACAAAGCUAUUUCCAGACAUCUCAUUAAUUUACAAGGGGAAUUUCUAUCAUCUAGUGAUGAAUCCACAAACUCCACGCCUUUGCCACCUUUCCACAACUCAUAUGCCUGAAAUUAUCAAGUACCAUUUUGUUACAUAAUUUAUACUUCUUAAUUAAGUGCGCAUAUGUGUACUCAGGGUUACUAUAGCCGAAGAAACUUACGUGCUCUAGAAUGCUUAAAUUUUCAUUGAUGCCACAUAACAUUGAAAGUCUCUUUCCACUUAUGAUUUGUAGAAGUAAAACUCCGAAACUAAAAACGUCUGAUUUGGUAGAAUAUACACCUUGUCUGGCGUACUCAGGAGGAAUAUAACCUCUGCAUUCAAAAUAACCAAGUAUAUAUGAGUAAGGGAUUUUGCAAUUUAAUAAAUUUGUAAAACCCAUUUUAAAUUGUGGUAAAAGUCCAUUCUGCAUUUUAUUAAAGUGCUGAAUUCCUUAUUCGAAACCCAAUAUAUGUAUAACAAACAGAAGCUUGAGUAAAGGAUAUCAUUUAGAUGUAAUAUACUUACAUUGUUCCCACAACUUGUUCUGUAUUCGCUUCGAGACUCUCUUUUGCAAAAAUCCUAGCCAAACCAAAAUCUGAAAUUUUAGGUUUCAUACCUUCACCUAACAAAAUAUUACUAGCUUUCAAGUCUCGAUGAAUAAUAGUCAGUCUUGAGUAUUCCUGGAGGUAUAAAAGCCCUUGAGUUAUCCCUUCAAUGAUAUGAACACGUUUUUUCCAAUCCAAAAUAAGUCUUCUGAUGGGAUCUACAACAAAUAUAUAGUUUUGGACAAUAAGUGAUAUGCAAAUGAAUUUUAUACACAAUUAAUAUUAACUUGAUUUCAGAACAAACCAAAAAGGUAGCAAUCCAAGCUUUUGUUUGGCAUGUAUUCGUAGACCAGCAUCCGUUCCUCACUGUCAAUGCAAAAACCUAAAACUCUAAUAAGAUUUACAUGUUGGAGCUUUGCAGUAAGCAUAACCUCAUUCUUAAACUCAUCAAAUCCCUGCGUGGAGGUUUUUGAAAGUUUCUUCACUGCUAUCACCUCUCCGCAGGGUAACACACCCUGCGACCGAAAAAAAAAAUGUUCAUAUAAAGCUUUCACUAAUUAAAUAAGCUGAGAAAUGUUAGCCAAACAAUAUGUUACCCUCCAAAGUUGAGGGCACCAUUUUUAAGUCCUUUUAAGUCCCCAUGGACGCAUAAAUCUCCUCUCACAAAAUAUGGAUAUUGGUGGAGAUAUCUUCUUAAAUAUUUGUAGAAGUAGUUAUUUCUCUCUAGUGUGAGGUUAGAGGUCUCAUCUCUAAUAGGUAUACAUUUUUAAAUUAUAUGUUUUGGGCCUCUGAAUUUUACUGUAAGUGUAUGAAUUCAAACUUCCGAUAGAAUCCAAAUUGUAACGUUUGUGGAUUUUGUGUGUGUAUUACCUUGUAAACAGGACCAUAUCCACCUUCCCCUAGCUUAUUUCUAACUGAAAAUCCCUCGGUGGCCGCCUCAAUAUCAGCCAAACUAUAUACUCUGAGGUUAGGAACAUUUCUGUUAAAGUCUCCAGCUUCUGCUUCAUCAUUUGCUCUCGUGUUUGACGCUUUAGCAGAGUCCUCUGUUCC